This is a long non-coding RNA of Capsicum annuum, 52316 nucleotides long. RefSeq lists it as uncharacterized. The transcript is spliced from 2 exons. Lineage: Eukaryota; Viridiplantae; Streptophyta; Magnoliopsida; Solanales; Solanaceae. The record is from RefSeq and is a predicted model, not a curated record.
UAAUUAUUCCUGUUCCUUAAGUUCAAAGCUGAACAGUACGAAGUACAACUAUGUGUUGCUGUGCAUAAAAGUACAGUAAACUAUAAUUAUUAUAUUUCUUUACACCAAAAUACCCUUCACUUUUGACAUAUUACAAUGCUAAACAAGAGGGUAAAAUUGGAAACAUUGCUGCUUUUAAGAUGCUGAGCUUCCAUUGAUGAACAACCACCAAAACCCAAAAGCUCAGCUCAGAGGGGAUUUGGAGCUGACCCGAGGUCGACCUGGCACGCAGCCCGAGAUUGUGUUGUUGAUGUAAAAGGGUGUGUUUGGUAUGUAGAAAAAUGUGAUCUUUUUUGAUGAUGAAUUUUAUGUGAGAAGAAGAAAGUUUGGGAAUUUGCUUUGUGAAAACUAAGGGCAUGUUUGGACAUGCAAUGUUGGGUUGUUAAACUAAAAGGGUGUGUUUGAUUUGAAGAAAAAUGUGAUCUUUUUUGAUGAUGGAUGAAGAAAAAUGUGAUCUUUUUGGUGAAAACUAAGGGCCUGUCUGGACAUGCUAUAUUGUCUUGUUAAUCUAAAAGGGUGUGUUUGGUUUGAAGAAAAAUGUGAUUUUUUUUUUUUUUUUGAUGAUGGAUGAAGAAAAAUGUGGUCUUUUUGGUGAAAACUAAGGGCCUGUUUGUAUAUGCAAUAUUGUGUUGUUAAACUAAAAGGGUGUGUUUGGUAUGAAGAAAAAUGUGAUGUCUUUGAUGAUGAGUUUCAUAUGAAAAGAAAGUUGGGAAAUUUUCUUGGUGAAAACUAAGGGGCUGUUUGGACAUGCAAUAUUGUGUUGCUAAACUAAAAGUGUGUGUUUGUAUGAAGAAAAAACUAAAAGUGUGUGUUUGGUAGGAAGAAAAAUGUGAUCAUUUUUGAUGAUGAGUUUCAUCUAAGAAGAAGAAAGUUUGGGAAUUUUCUUGGUGAAAAUUAAGGGCCUGUUUGGACAUGCAAUGUUGAGUUGCUAAACUAAAAGUGUGUGUUUGGUAUGAAGAAAAAUGUGAUUUUUUUGAUGAUGAGGUUCAUCUAAGAAGAAGAAAGUUUGGGAAUUUUCUUGGUGAAAAUUAAGGGCAUGUUUGGACAUGCAAUAUUGUGUUGUUAAUCUAAAAGGUAAUCUUUAGUAUGAAAAAAAAUGUGUUCUUUUUUGAUAAUGAGUUUCAUCUGAGAAGAAGAAAGUUGGGAAAUUUUUUGCUGAAAACUAAGGUGUUGUAUGUUUUUCUAAAGUAAAAGGUGGUGUUUGGUAUGAAGAAAAGAUUUUUUUUUUUUUUAAAUUUUAAUGAUGAAUUUCAUUAAUGUUUGGUUACUAAUGUAGUCCUUCAGUGAAGAAGAAAGUUGGAAAAUUUCUGGUGGAAAACCAAAAAAGAAAAAAGACUUAGGCAAGAAAGAAAAAUGAUGUGAAUAGAGAGAAGGGAUAUUUUUGUUAAGGGUGGUUGCCCCUCUCUGUUGUGCCAAUGAUAUUCUUUUUUAACAACUAAAGCAACAGCCCUUGUUGACGAAAUACUCAGACAAGCAAUUGUUUAGUCUGUGUGAUGUAUUGUUAUUCUAAAAGGUGUCUUUGGUGUGAGGGAAAAUAUUUUCUUUUUAUGAUGAAUUUCAUCAGUGUUUGGUUACUAAUGUAGCCCUCUGAAAAGAAGAAAGUUCGGAAAAUUUUCUGAUGAAAACGGAGAACUUUCCUAAAGGAAGUUAGCCGAGGAAGAAAAAUGAGGUGAAUAGAGAGAAGGAUUUUUGUCAACGGUGGCUGCCCCUCUCUGUUGUGCCGAUGAUUUUGUUUUUUGCAGCUAGAAGCAACAGCCCUUGUUAAUGAAAUACUCAGAGAAACAACUGUUCAGUCUGUAUGUUGUAUUAUUUAUCUAAAAGGAUGUGUUUGGUAUGACGAAAAAUGUUCUUUCUUUUCUUUAAUGAUGAGUUUCAUCAGUGUUCGGUUACUAAUGUUGACCUUUUGAUAAGAAGAAAGUUGAGAAAUUUUCUGGUGAAAACUUCAAGAAUUUUCCUAAAAAAGUUCAGCCCAGAAAGAGAAAUGAGGUUAAUAGAGAGAAGGGAUUUUUCUCAGGGUGGUUGUCCCUCUCUAUGACACCAAUGAUUUCUCAUAUGGAAAAAAAGGAAAAAAAAUCAAACAGCCCUUGAGAAUUUAUGACAAAAUGGUCCUUUACGUUAUGGAAUUGAGCUAUAUUCAGCUCACAAGUCACAAAGAUAGAUAGAGCGAGAGAGAGAGAGAGAGAGAGAGAAAGAGAAAGUUUUGAGGCUGCAAUUGGUACUUGGCAAGAGAAUUCAAAGAACGUAUCUUGGCGGGGCGGCCCGGAAUGCAACCCGAGGUUAGCAGCCAUGGCGAUGUCUAUAUUCUCUUGUUUUAUCAACUGAUUCGACCUUCAAUUUUACUCUUGAAGCUUGUGUUGUGUUGUUAUUUUGAAAGAGUGUGUUUGGUAUGAAGGAAAAUGUUUUCGUUUUUAUGAGGAGUUGAUGAAAGUUGGAGAAUUUUCUGUUGAAACUAAGGGCCUGUUUGGACAUGAGAUACGGUGUCAUGAGGUUAAUGGAGAGAAGGAUUUUUUGUUAAGGUUGGUUGCUCCUCUCUAUUAUGCCCAUGAUUGUAUUAAUAGCAACUAAAGCAACAGCCCUUGUUGAUGAACUACAAAGACAAACAGCAACUUAGUGUGUGUGUGUAUGUUGUUUUUCCCCCCUUUUGGGUUUAAUUGUGCAAAAGAGGCUGUGAUGAUGACAAUGUUUUACUUUGUGGGCUAACAAAAUCGGGCAUUGAGGAUAGUCCUACCCGUAUCUUGGCUUGGCAAAUCCCAGGAUGGCCUGCAAACUGAGGCUCACUCUUUUGCAUGCAACUGGUGAUUUUGCAGCCAUGGCGAGGUUGCCUUCUCUUUGUCCGAGACAAAAUGCAGCAUCUGAGCCUCAAAUUUCUUCUGUUCAUUUUGUAAGUGACCAGGAGAUCUUAAUUCCUCGUAUGUCUGCAUUUAAACCAAAAGCACUUUGCUUUUUCAGUGAAUAUUGUUGAUAUAUAGAUAUAUAGAUAGAGAUUAUGAGGCUAUGAUGAUAUUUUCUUCCCUUCUUUUUUUGACCAACUCAAUAGGACAAGGAAAUAAAGGGACUGUAUCUUGGCGGGGCAAUGCAGACGGCUAGUGAUUUUGUGUCAUGCCAAUGGUGUUUGCAGCCAUGAUCAUCACCUUCAUUCCCUUGUCUUAUCAACAUCUGAGCCUCAACUUACUUUUAGGGUGUCUUUGGUAUGAUGGAAAACAUUUUUCAUGAUGAAAGCAACACUCGAUUACCAUUAUAUCCCUAUGAGGAAAUAAAAGUUGUGAAAUUUCAGGUGAGAGCCAAGUGUUCCGAAAAGAAUUCACCCAGAAGGAGAAGUGAGGUUAAUAGAGAGAAGGGAUUUUCUUCUAAGGGUGGUUGCCCCUCUCCAUUGUGCCAAUGAUUUUCUGUAGCUACUAUACCAACAGCCCUUGUUCAUGGAAUAUAGGCAGCAGAAUAUAAUCCAUAUAUCUCAGCGAGUGUGUAUUCUUGGGGAAUUUACACUAGUGACGUUUCUUUGAGGUACUGAUGGUAACAAUGGCACUUUCUGGGUUAACAAGUGAAGCAUUGAAGAUAAUCCAGCCCGUAUCUUGGCCUGGCAAAUCCCAGGAUGGCGUGCAACUGAGGCUCUUUCUUUUGCAUGCAACCGGUGAUUUUGCAGCCAUGGCGUGGAGGCAAUGAUAUUCUCUUUAAGGGGUCGUUUGGUUAGGAAAGGAGUUGUUAAUGUUUGGAGGGAUUUCUGAAGGGUGGUUGCCCCUAUCUGUAACGCCAGUGUAUGAAAAGAAAAUGAAAAAAAUUCAAACAACCCCAUAAAUCUCAGGGAAAACUUAUCAACACCCUAUUGAGAUUUUUGAAUCAAAUGUUCCUUCAUGUUAUGGAGUUGAACCAAAUUCAUCUCACAAAGAGAAGAUAUAUAUGUAUAUAUAUAUAUAUAUAGAUUCUGAAGCUUCAAUGAUACUUGACAAGAGAAAUUAAGAGAUCUGUAUCUUGGCUGGGCGACCCGGAUGCAAUCCGAGGUUUGCUGCCAUGUCGAUGUCUUCAUUCUCUUGUUUUAUCAACAGAUCUGAGCUUCAAUUUUACUCUUGUAGCCUGUUUGGAUGGUUGUUACCUAUUGUGCUGUAUUGUUAUUCUACUAGGGUGUAUUUGGUACAAAAGGAAAUGUUUUUAUGAUGAAUGUCAUCCGUGUUUGGUUUCUAAUGUAGCCCUCUGAAAAGAAGAAAGCUGGGAAAUUUUAACGAGGAAUUUUCCUAAAGAAGGUUGGCCCAGGAAGAAAAAUGAGGUUAAUAGAGAGUAGGGACUUUUUGUUAAGGGUGGUUGCCCCUCUCUGUUGUGCCAAUGAUUUUCAUUUUAACAACUAUAGCAACAUCCCUUGUUAAUGAAAUACUCAGGGAAACAACAGCUAGAUCUCAGUCUGUUUGUGUUGCUUUCUCCCCCUUUAAAGUAAUUGUGCAAAAGAGGCUGUGAUGAUGACAAUGUUUCAUAUUUGGGCUAACAAAAUCGGGCAUCGAGGAUAAUCCUACCCGUAACUUGGCUUGGCAAAUCCCAGGAUUGUCUGCAACUGAGGCUCACUCUUUUGCAUGCAACUGGUGAUUUUGCAGCCAUGGCGUGGUUGUCUUCUCUUUGUCUGAGCAAAAAUGCUAAAUUCUGAGCCUCAAAUUUCUUGAAAUCAAACUGUGGAUCUCUUGUGCUUACAUUUAAGUUUGUUCCAAUUAGAAUGAUGUAUGUAUACUGGGUCAUUUGCAGUUUUUCCCUAAUUUUGUGUUUUUCUUCAAUUUAUGCCCUCUCGUAACCCAAAAAAAACAUUUUUCAGGAUAUAUAUAUAUGUGUGUGUAUAUAUAUAUAGAUAGAUAGAUAGAUAGAUGGAUGGAUAGAGAAUAUGAGGCUAUGAUGAUGUUCUUUUCCCUUCUUUUUGGGAGCAACUCGUUAGGACCAGAAAAUAAAGGGACUGUAUCUUGGCGGGGCAAUCCGGAUGACUAAUGAUUGUGUCAUGCAACCAGUGUUUGCAGCCAUGGCAUCGCCUUCAUUCUCUUGUCUUAUGAACAGAUCUGAGCGUCAACUUCACUCUUAAGGUGUCUUUGGUAUGAUGGAAUUUUUUUUCUAAAAAUUACACAAAUACACAACUUUUGUUUCCAAUAUUACGAAAAAUCCCAACUCCCUAAACAUAUUACAAAAAUCCCAACAUAUACACAGUAUGCUAUGUAUAUGUCGGCUAUGUUAUGUAUAUUAAUAGGGAGAGAGUAAAGUAAGUAAAAAAGUGGGAGAGUGUAAUUACUUCCAAAAGGGUUGGUAUUUAUGUUAUUUAUACAUUUUUUUUUCAUGAUGAAAUCAGCACUUGGUUACCAGCGGAUCCCUACGAGGAGAGAAAAGUGGUGAAAUUUUCAUCUGAGAGCCAAAUAUCCCUAAAAGAGAUAAAUGAGGUUAACGGAGAGAGGAUUUUCUUGUAAGGGUGGUUGCUCCUCUCCGUUGGGCCAAUGAUUUUCUGUAGCUACUAUACCAACAGCCCUUGUUCUUGCAAUAGAAGCAGAAGAUGAUCAAUCCAUAUAUAUCUGACGCGUGUGUAUUCUCGGGGAAUUUGCACUAAUGACCUUUUUUGAGCUGGCGAUGAUAAUAAUAGUACUUUCUGGGUUCACAAAAAUGGGGCAUUGAAGACAAUCCGACCUGUAUCUUGGCCUUGCAAAUUCCAGGAUGGCUUGCAACUGCAACUGAGGCUCGUUCUUUUGCAUGCAACCGGUGAUUUUGCAGCCAUGGCGUGGUGGCAUUCUCUUUUAGGGUGGUUGCCCCAAUCUGCAACUCUAGUGAUUUCUCAUAUGGAAGGAAAAUGAAAAAAACUAAAAUCAAACAAACCUUUAAAUCUCAGGGGAAAAUUAUCCGCACCCUGUUGAAAUUGUUGAAUCAAAUUGUCCUUUAUGUUAUGGAGUUGAACUAACUUGAUCUCAUGCAGAAAGUGAGCGAGCGAGAGAGAGAGAUUCUGAGGCUUCAGUGAUACUUGACCAGAGAAAUUAAGAGACCUGUAUCUUGGCAGGGCGACCCGGAACGCAACCCGAGGUUUGCAGCCAUGGCUGUGUCUUCAUUCUCUUGUUUCAUCAACUGAUCUAAGCUUCAUUGCUCUUUUUCAAUGGUUGUUACCUAAUGUAUUGUAGUGCUAUUAAGGGUGUCUUUGGUAUGAAGGGAAAUGCUUAGAGUAAAGCAACUAGUACCCCCCCUGAACUUGACCGAAUUUGCUGCGACACACUCCAACAUCACAAGGGUCCUAUUACCCCUUGAACUAAAUUUUAGCAUAUUUUUGUCAUUUUUUUAGCUGACGUGGCACCUUUUGUCAACCUAUUUAGCUGACGUAACACCUUUGACAUGGGCCCCAUUUUAUGUAAUAAAGGUGCCAUGUCAGCACAAAAGCACAAAAGGGUGAUAAAAAUACGCUAAAACUGAAUUCAGGGAGGUAAUAGGACCCCUGUGAAAACUGAUAUCUUUCCUAAAAUCCAACCUGUAUCUUGGCGGGGCGACCUGGUAGGGCAUCCAUCUGCAAACCGGUGUCCGCAGCCAUGGCUUGUGUUGCUUUCUCUUUCAUGCUGAUAUACUGCAGAAUCUGAGCCCCAAAAGUUUAACGGGUCUUCAAUGGAACUGGAAAACCCAAUAAUGCCCUUUUAGCAUAUGUAUGGUCUCUGUGUGUGUGUAUAUACUGCAUGUCUCUUUCUGUCUGUCUUACCUUUGCAGGGUAGAGAGGUUGUUUCCAGUAGACCCCCGGCUCAUGAAAAGUGCUCUUAUGUUUGUUAAAAUUUACUCUGAGUUGUCCAAAUGCCUACUUGUGGGAAUGUUCCCAUCUUUCACACGAGGCUAUGAUGAUAUUGCUAAUCUGGGCUGAUGUUUGGGCGUGGAGACAAUCUGACCCUUAUCUUGGCAUGGCAAAUCCGGAUUGUUUGUGAUUGAGUCUUCUCUUUCACAUGCUACCGGUUCCUUUGCAGCCAUGGCGUUGUCACAUUCUCUUUUCCCCAUUUGCUGCAGAUCUGAGCCUCGAUUUCCAACUAGUCCUUUCGGACAGUUCAGGAUACGAACCCAGGACCUGUGGUUUGGUGAACGCCAGCUGUUCACUUUUUCUUGAACACCUGAUGGUGUUCUCCGUCAAAUUUUAGGUAAAAAGAAUGAGUCAGUUGGAGCAAAAAUGGGAAGUUAUCUGGAUUUUCCGGGUGGUCGACCAUUUCCAUCACGCAUAUGAUUUCUAGUAUCUCUUAGCUCUAAGUAAUAUUAAGGACCUUUUUUGAUCAUUUUCUCUGUUUCUGCUACUGUCAUACUCGGUUCCUCAAUGGCUGUGUUUUCCUGGAACAGCAACAGCAAAAGCUUACAGCAAUGAAAUUGAAAAGGAUAAUAAUGUGGCUGUGAUGAUACUUUUAUUGAGCAAAUGAAAUCAGGUAUUGUUGAUUCAGGCCCGUACCCAUGCAGGGCGACCCAUGUUAUAGGGUUUGCAGCCAUGGUGGUUUCUAAUAACUCAAUGCCUCAGAUAAAUUAAAGAUCUGAGCCCAGAAGGAAGAAUGAAGCCAACCAAUAACCUUUUUUUUUCAUUGGUAUAUUUACACUUUGUUUGGAUGGUGGUUUCCCAUGCUAUGGUAUGGCGUGUUCAUAGUUCGGUUUGGUUUUGUAUCCUGACGGGAUGAGUAAUGGAAGCUCAGCCCUGUGUGAAUAAUGAGGCCAACAGGGAGAAAAAGGGAAUUUCUUUGGAGGGUGGUUGCCUCCGCUGAUUGGCCAAUGAUUUCUCCUUUAACCAUUCCAACAACCCUCUGCAAAACUGGAAACAAGAAACUGUUUGUUGCCCUCAGCUUCAAUGUUGGAGAUUUGAUGUUGAAGGUUAUCAUUUUAAGCUAAGGUCUUCUUUUUGUUUUAUUAAUUUUUCCUGCUAAAGUCGUUCAAACUGGCUCUACUGGAAAAGUUUCAGUCUUUUCUGAAAGAGGCAGUGAUGAUAUUGCUAAUAUGGGCUGAUGUUUGGGGGAUGGAGGCAAUCUAACCCAUAUCUUAGUAUGGCAAACCUGGAUGGCUUGUGCUUGAGUAUGGCAAACCUGGAUGGCUUGUGCUUGAGUCUUCUCUUUCACAUGCAACUGGUUCUUUUGCAGCCAUGGCGCUGUCGCCUUCUCUUUACCCCAUUUUUUGCAGAUCUGAGCCUCAAUAUCCAACUAAUCCAACUGGACGUCCCAGGACGUGAAGAAUAAUAUUACAAUACUGUUUGGUCUACAAGAUUCACUUCUAAGCCCCCAACCUGUAAAUUCAACUUCCAACAGUACCUAUGUUUUCUUUUGUUAAUUAAUUUUCUAAUGAUAGGACUGUGAUAAUUGAUUAUUAUUGAGAAUAUGGAAACUGGCACUGUUGUUUCAGACCUGUAUCUUGGCGGGGCAACCCGUAUUAUCGGGUUUGCAGCCGUGGCAGUGUCAGAGAACUCAUUGCCGGGGUUAAUCACUUAUCUGAGCCUCAAGUCUUUUUGAUAUGACUGAAUACAUUGACGGUCCCUCAAACUUGCUGAAAGUUUUCAUUUGGACAUCCAACUAAGGGUGGUUUGAACACGUAGAGCCAAACUGUGUCUAUUAGACACAUGUUGCUGAAAUUGUCCGAACAGGCUCUUAUGGAAAAAUUCCCAUUUUCAGAAGAGGCAGUGACGAUAUUGCUGACCUGUAGGUUGGCAUGGAAAACCAGGAUGGCUUGUUUGGUAUAUUUCUCCAUCAACCUCUGUUUUCAUUUCUUUCUUUGGUAUAUUUUGGGGUGUUCAUGGUUUGGUUUUGGUUUUGGUUUUGACCUAAAAAGAAGGCAAAUAUCUGUUGCCAUUGAUGUGAUGCUGAUAUCAAUGGUACUCCCUCCGUACAUUUUUUGUCUCGAAACUGUCCACAAAUGACAGUGAAGAAGUUUUCAUUAUCCGAGAGGCAGUGAUGAUAUUGCUAAGCUGGGCUGAUAUUUGAGGCAUGGAGAAAACCCGACUCGUAUCUUGGCGGGGUGAAAUUGAACCAUGCAAUUGGUUCGUUUUGCAGCCAUGGCGUUGUCGUCUUCUCUUUGCUGCAUUUUACGCAGAUCUGAGCCUCAACUUCCAACUGAUCUUUUUAUAGGGGUCCUAACAACGGUUGUGUACUUCUCCCACUUCACAGCGUUGAUAAAAUCCGAUCCGUAAUUUGGCGUGGCAACCUGGUAUGGCAUCGUUUGCAAACCGGUGUCUGCAGCCAUGGCGUGGUCACUUUCUUUUUGCAUGUUCAUAGAAAAGGAAAAUUUGAGCCCUAAAAGAUUUACGCAACCAUUUGAUGGUCUUGAAUUGGAUGGUCGUUCUCAGGAUGUGGAGAAUCCAAUUGGGUUCUACACUGUUUUCCUGAACACCCCAUUUUAGAUGCUGUUCUCCGUCACCUUUUUAGCUCAUAAAUGAGGCACUUGGAGAAAAAUGGGGAUUUUUCAAGGUGGUUGACCAUUUCCGACAUGCCAAUGAUUUCUUUUUUGCUCUAACCGACAGCCUCUUUUACAUAUGUAUGUGUUUGUAUAUACUUGUUUAGGUGUAUGCACCUCGCGCGUGUACCUCACUUUAUUGAGUUCAAACGCUAAACGAAAUAGAAUAUUUGUUUAAAUAACAAAGAUGAAUACAAUAAUUAAAUUCAACAUCUUUUGGAGAAUUUAUUUAAUUAAACCUAACCUUUACAAAAAAAAAUUCUUAAAGCCGAUCAACAUUCUUCUACCACCUGUAAACUGCAACAAAACAAUAAGAUGAUAGAGACAUCAAAACAAUAUAAUUAAAUCUAAUUUUUACACAAAAAAAUACUCAAAUCCAUCUGACACUCAUCUUUUGGUUUUGGUUUUGGUUGUUGUUUUGACCUAAAAGGAAGGCAAAUAUCUGUUGCCAUUGAUGUGAUGCUGAUAUCAAUAGUACUCCCUCUGUUCAUUUUGUGUCUCGAAACUGUCCACAAAUGGCAGUGAAGAAGUUUUCAUUAUCCGAGAGGCAGUGAUGAUAUUGCUAAUCUGGGCUGAUAUUUGAAGCAUGGAGAAAACCCGACCCGUAUCUUGGCAGGGUGAAAUUGAAUCAUGCAAUCGGUUCAUUUUGCAGCCAUGGCGUUGUCGUCUUCUCUUUGCUGCAUUUUACACAGAUCUGAGCCUCAACUUCUAACUGAUCUUUAUAUAGGGGUCCUAACAACGACUGACUGUGUACUUCCCCCCACUACACAGCGUUGAUAAAAUCUUUUCCGUAAUUUGGCGGGGCAACCUGGUAUGGCAUCAUUCGCAAACCAGUGUCUGCAGCCAUGGCGUGGUCACUUUCUCUUUGCAUGUUCAUAGAAAAGGAAAAUUUGAUCCCUAAAAGAUUUACGCAACCAUUUGAUGGUCUUGAAUUGGAUGGUUGUUCUCAGGACCUGGAAAACCCAAUUAGGUUCUUCACUUUUUUCCUGAACACCCCAUUUUAGAUGCUGUUCUCCAUCAACUUUUUAGCUCAAAAAUGAGGCAAUUAGAGAAAAUGGGGAUUUUUCAGGGUGGUUGACCAUCUCCGGCAUGCCAAUGAUUUCUUUUUGCUCUAAUCAACAGCCCUCUUUUACAUAUGUAUGUGUGUGUGUAUAUAUAUAUUGUAUGUCUGUGUCUGUCUAUAUCUACCUAUCACUACCCUGCUCCUGCAUCACUGCAUUUUCAGGCAAAUUAGCAUGGAAAGUAUUAGAGUUGUGACCCGAAUUUUGUUGUUCCGGGCCUGAAAGUUUUGCGGUGCGACCCAUGUUUGUGAUUUUCAAUGGGGUCAGUGGUGGUAGUGUAGAGAUCGGGCCAAUCUAAGACUUAUUUGUACGCACAUACUAUAUAACUGCGAUUUAGUGGGCUGUUUCGGGUCAUUCAGAAAAAUACACGAAAUUGAGACAUAGUCUCUUCAUUGUACUCUUCUCCAUUAUAGUGAAACUCCUCUGCCCGUGUUUUUUCCCGCAAGGGUUUCCAAGUAAAUCUGUGUGUUGUUGUUUUUCUUUCUGCUUGUGGUUUACUUUAUUCUGUUUGGUUUAUAACAGAAAGCAUAAAAUUGGGAGUAGUUUCUUAAAUGUAGACUUACGGGUCUCUUCGGUUAACUUUUCUCUUAUAAACAAGUGUGUUUUACUUCACAAGAUUUCCUUCUUUUUUUAAAAAAAAUUUUUUUGGUUAUUAUUGGCAUGUUAUAGAUGCUUCUGCUUCAGCUUAAACUAAGGCUCGGGUAUAUAUAUAUAUAUAUAUAUAUAUACACACACACACACACACACAUUUGAAACGAAAAAGAGACCGUACAGGUAACCUGCUGAGGAUGUCCAUAAAUAUUUAAGCAGAAACAGUAACAUAGAGGGUUUAGCAAAAUCCCUGCAGUUAAACCCGAAAAGGAAGAAUGAGACAUUAGAGGGAGGGGUUUUCUGAAAAGGGUGGUUGCCCCUCUCUGUUAUGUCCAUGAUUUUCCCAUUCGUAAAAGCAACAACCCUUUGAGAAAAGACAAAAGAGUAGAGGCAAAAUGUUAAUUGAUAAACCAUCUCAACAACACCAUUUGUGUAUUCCUCUGUUAAAAGGGCUACACUCUUCCUUUCUCUGCUUCUGCUGCGACCACUUAGAUACCUGGUGUCAUAUCUUCGUUGAUCGUUGCAGAUCACCUGGAAAUGGGCUGUGAUGAUGAUUGCUUCUUUCUGGCUAUCUAGUUUACUGCUUUGAGAAAAUCUGACCAUAUCUUGGUGGGGCGCCCCGGUAUGGCGUUGUCUUUAAACCGGUGUCUGCAGCCAUGGUGUGUCACUUUCUCUUUGCAUAUGAUCAUAUACAGCAAAGUCUGAGCUCUAACACUCACCACUCUUUAGCCCAGAAAGCAAGAAUUGAGACAUCAGAGAGAGAAAAAAAGGGGAUUUUCUGUAAAGGGUGGUUGCCUGAAUACGCCAUUUGGGUUCUGCACUUGUUUCCUGAAUACGCCAUUUCAGAUGCUCUUCUCCAUCAACUCUUAGCUCAAAAUGAGGCAAUUGGAGAAAAAUGGGAUUUUUCAGGGUGGUUGACCAUUUCAGGCAUGCCAAUGAUUUCUUCUUUGCUCUAAUCAACAGCCUCUUUUACACAUGUAUGUGUGUGUGUGUGUGUAUAUAUAUAUACAUAUAUAUAUUGUUUGUCUGUGUCUGUGUCUGUCUAAAUAUCUAUCACUACCCUGCUCUUGCAUGGCUGCAUUUUCAGGCAAAUUAGCAUUGAAAGCCUAAAAUUAGGAGGAUUAGUCUCUUAAAUGUAGACUUAAGGGGUCUCUUUGGUUAAAUCAGUGCGAUUUACUUCACAAGACUCCUUUUCUUUGUUUUGGUGGUUAUGGCAUGAUACAGAUGCUUCUGCUUCAGCUUAACAUAAGGCUCAGAGAUCAAUGUCUUCCAAAAACUUAGAACACAUUUGAAACGAAAAAGAGACCGCACCGGUAGCCUGCUGAGGAUGUCCAUAAUUAUUAAAUCAGAAACGGUAGUUUAGAGGGUUUGGCAAAAUCCUCGUAGUUAAGACGAGAUCGUUUUCGAAGGAACCUCGCUUAAAUGCAGUAAAUCAAAUUAGUUAUAAAAAUAAAUAAAAAAGGAGAACUAAUUAAAAAGCAUGACAUAGCAUUCAUAAAAUGUACAUGACAACAAAAAUAGUAUGAUAGACAAUUGAAACACAAUAUAAUCAUCUUUAACUUUAUUUUUAAAAGAGAAGUAUGUAGUACCCCUCUAAUUAUGACCAAAGUUGCUGCGAUACAUUCCAACUUCGCAGCGGUCCUAUUACUUCUGAAUUCAAUUUUAGCGUAUUUUUGUUAUCCUUUUGUGCUGACGUGGCAUAUUUAUUACAUAAAAAUGGGGUUCACGUCAAAGGUGUCACGCCAGUAUAAAGGUUAACAAAAAUAUGCUAAAAUUUAGUUGAGGGGUAAUAGGAGCCCCGUAAAAUUAGAGUGUCGUAGCAAAUUUGAUCAUAGUUUAGGGUACUAGAUGCUUUACUCCUUUUUAAAAUAUAACUGAUGGGUUGUUCCAUUUAAAUAGAUAAAUGGACUUUCCCCUCAUUCAACAAUAAUUGAAGUUAUCAUCCCAAUUCAUCAGAAGCCAAAACAUUUUUAUCUAUAUAAAAUUUAAUACCAUUUUAGUCACUCAGAUCAGGUAUGACAUAUUUCUAUUGAUUUUUAUCUUGAUUACUUGCUACUAUAUCUUUUUUCCAUAGACUCAUAUUUAUGUUUUUUCAUGUUCUAUAUUAUUGCAGUGAUCAGUUGCUUCUUCCCAUAUUUCUACCUUUGAAAGGUUAAUUUCCCUUAAUUACUCAGGUUUCUAAUUUAAUAACUAUUAGAUGAGUGACCGUUUAGAAAAUACAAAUAACUUGAAAUAAAUACCUUGUAUAAAUAGUUUCAAUUAUGGAAGGAUUUUUGUUAAGGGUGGUUGCCCCUCUCUGUUGUGCCUAUGAUUUUUUUUUUUUUAGCAACUAGAAGCAACAGCCCUUGUUUGUGAAAUACUCAGACAAACAACUUUUUAGUCUGUGUUGUAUUGUUAUUCUAAAAGGUUUCUUUGGUGUGAGGAAAAAUAUUUUCUUAUGAUGAAUUUCAUCAGUGUUUGGUUACUAAUGUAGCCCUCCGAAAAGAAGAAAGUUGGGAAAUUUUCUGAUUAAAACGGAGAACUUUCCUAAAGGAAGUUAGCCGAGGAAGAAAAAGGAGGUGAAUAGAGAGAAGGAUUUUUGUCAAGGGUGGUUGCCGCUCUCUGUUGUGCCAAUGAUUUUGUUUUUCGCAACUACAAGCAACAGCCCUUGUUAAUGAAAUACUCAGAGAAACAACUAUUCAGUCUGUAUGUUGUAUUAUUCAUGUAGAAGGAUGUGUUUGGUAUGAAGGAAAAUGCUCUUUCUUUUCUAUGAUGAUGAGUUUCAUCAGUGUUUGGUUACUAAUGUUGACCUUUGAUAAGAAGAAAGUUGAGAAAUUUUCUGGUGAAAACUUCAAGACUUUUCCUAAAAAAGUUAAGCCCAGAAAGAGAAAUGAGGUUAAUAGAGAGAAGGGAUUUUUCUCAGGGUGGUUGUCCCUCUCUAUGACACCGAUGAUCUUUCAUUUGGAAAAAAGGAAAAAAAUCAAACAGCCCUUGAGAAUUUAUAACCAAAUGGUCCUUUACGUUAUGGAGUUGAGCCAUAUUCAGCUCACAAGUCACAAAGAUAUAUAUAUAGAGAGAGAAAGAGAAUUUGGAGGCUGCAAUUAGUACUUGGCAAGGGAAUUCAAAGACCUGUAUCUUGGCGGGACGACCCGGAAUCCAACCGAGGUUAGCAGCCAUGGUGAUGUCUAUAUUCUCUUGUUUUAUCAACCGAUUCAAGCUUCAAUUUUACUCUUGUAGCUUGUCUUGUGUUGUGUUGUUAUCUUGAAAGGGUGUGUUUGGUAUGACGGAAAAUGUUUUCUUUUUUAUGAGGAGUUCCACUUCCAUUUGAGAAGAAGAAAGUUUAAUUUUCUGGUGAAACUAAUGGCCUGUUUGGACAUGAGAUAUGGUAUCAUGAGGUUAAUAGAGAGAAGGAUUUUUUGUUAAGGGUGGUUGCUCCUCUCUAUUAUGCCCAUGAUUGUCUUAAUAGAAACUAAAGCAACAACCCUUGUUGAUGAACUCCUCAGACAAACACCAACUUAGUGUGUGUGUGUAUGUUGUGUUUUCCUCCUUUGGGUUUAAUUGUGCAAAAGAGGCUGUGAUGAUGACGAUGUUUUACUUAGUGGGCUAACAAAAUCGGGCAUUGAGGAUAGUCCUACCCGUAUCUUGGCUUGGCAAAUCCCAGGAUGGCCUGCAAACUGAGGCUCACUCUUUUGCAUGCAACUGGUGAUUUUGCAGCCAUGGCGAGGUUGCUUUCUCUUUGUCCGAGCCAAAAUGCAGUAUCUGAGCCUCAAAUUUCUGCUGUUCAUUUUUUAAGUGACCAGGAGAGCUCAAUUCCUCAUAUGUCAGCAUUUAAACCAAAAGCACUUUGCUCUUUCAGUGAAUAUUGUUGAUAGAUAGAUAUAUAGAUAGAGAUUAUGAGGCUAUGAGGUGGAGUAGUUACAGCUCACUGAGGACAUGACCCUAGCUAGGAAGUUAUGGAGGUUGCGUAUUAGGAUAGAAGGCUAGUGUCAGUUUGGGUCGGUAGGGUAGGGCGUAGCUUGGUGGGUGUAUUAUUCUUGGUAUGCUACCUUGUUGCAUGCUAUAUUGCGAUGGUGUACUAUUCUUUGGUUGCUAUUCCUUGUUGGUGGUGUAUUUAUGUCUUAUCAUCUUGUUACGUGCUUUUUUGCGGAUUUGAUUAAUAUUCUUUGUCUUGAGCCGAGGGUCUAUCAGAAACAGCCUUGCUACUUCUCCGGAAGUAGUGGUAUGGACUGCGUCCACCUUACCCUCCCCAGACUCCACUAUGUGGGAAUACACUGGGUUUGUUGUUGUUGCUGUUGUCAUUUUUUGAGCAACUCAAUAGGUCAAGAAAAUAAAGGGACAGCAUCUUGGCGGGGCAAUGCGGACGGCUGGUAUUUUGUGUCAUGCCAACGGUGUUUGCAGCCAUGAUCAUCACCUUCAUUCUCUUGUCUUAUCAACAUUUUAGCCUCUACUUACUUUUAAGGUGUCUUCCACUAGUGACCUUUUUUUGAGGUACUAAUGAUAACAAUGGCACUUUCUGGGUUAACAAAUGGGACAAUCCAACCCGUAUCUUGGCCUGGCAAAUCCCAGGAUGGCCUGCAACUGAGGCUCUGUCUUUUGCAUGCAAUCAGUGAUUUUGCAGCCAUGGCGUGGUGGCAAUGAUAUUCUGUUUAAGGGGUCGUUUGGUUAGGAAAGGAGUCGUUAAUGUUAGGAGGGAUUUCUGAAGGGUGGUUGCCCCUAUCUGCAACUCCAGUGAUUUUUCAUAUGAAAAGAAAAUGAAAAAAAUUCAAACAACCCUAUAAAUCUCAGGGAAAACUUAUCAACACCCUAUUGAGAUUUUUGAAUCAAAUGGUCCUUCAUGAUAUGGAGUUGAAACAAAUUAGUCUCACAAAGAGAAGAGAGAUGGAUAGAUAGAGGCUUCAAUGAUACUUGACAAGAGAAAUUAAGAGACCCGUAUCUUGGCUGGGCGACCCGGACGCAAUCCGAGGUUUGCAGCCAUGGCGAUGUCUUCAUUCUCUUGUUUUAUCAACAGAUGAGAACUUCAAUUUUACUCUUGUAGCCUUUAUGGAUGGUUGUUACUUAUUGUGCUGUAUUGUUAUUCCACAAGGGUUUAUUUGGUACAAAAGGAAAUGCUUUUAUGAUGAAUUUCAUCCAUGUUUGGUUUCUAAUGUAGCCCUCUGAAAAGAAGAAAGUUGGGAAAUUUUAACGAGGAAUUUUCCUAAAGGAAGUUGUCCCCGGAAGAAAAAUGAGGUUAAUAGAGUGUAGGGACUUUUUGUUAAGGGUGGUUGCCCCUCUCUGUUGUGCCAAUGAUUUUCAUUUUAACAACUAUAGCAACAACCCUUGCUAAUGAAAUACUCAGGGAAACAACAGCUAGAUCUCAGUGUGUUUGUGUUGCUUUCUCCCCCUUUAAAGUAAUUGUGCAAAAGAGGCUGUGAUGAUGACAAUGUUUUACAUUCUGGGCUAACAAAAUCGGGCAUCGAGGAUAAUCCUACCCGUAACUAGGCUUGGCAAAUCCCAGGAUGGCCUGCAACUGAGGCUCACAUUUUUGCAUGCAACUGGUGAUUUUGCAGCCAUGGUGUGGUUGUCUUCUCUUUGUCUGAGCAAAAAUGCUAAAUUCCGAGCCUCAAAUUUCUGAAAAUCGAACUUGUGGACCUCGUGUGCUUACAUUUUUGCACUUUUGCCUUAUUUUGUGCUGGUCUUCAAUUUAUGCCUCUCGUAACCAAUAAAUAAAUAAAUAAAUAAAAUCCCAGGGCACGUUUAUAUUUUCUUACCAUAAUAUCGGACAAGUUUUGCUAACAUGACUUUUGUUUCCAAAGAACUUAUGCCCUACUAGGCAUACGUUCGAUUGCUAAAGGGCAAAAUAUGCAAUUUUAUGUUAUGCACUAUCACAAGAAAAUGGUUACUUUAUCUGCUUCUUAGAUAUAAGCCCAUGAUAUCAGGAAGAAUUUAACGGAAGAGACCCAGAAAGUUUGCAUUUAAAUGAAAAGCACUUUGCCUUUUCAGUGCAUGUUGGUGAUAUAUAGCUAUAGAUAUAGAUAGAUAGAUAGAUAGAGAAUAUGAGGCUAUGCUGAUAUUCUUUUCCCUUCUUUUUGGGAGCAACUCAACAGGACAAGAAAAUAAAGUGACUUGUAUCUUGGCGGGGCAAUCGGGAUGACUAAUUAUUGUGUCAUGCAACCAGUGUUUGCAGCCAUGGCAUCGCCUUCAUUCUCUUGUCUUAUGAACAGAUCUGAGCGUCAACUUUACUCUUAAGGUGUCUUUGGUACGAUGGAAUUUUUUUUUCUAAAAAUUACACAAAUACACCAAUGUUUCCAAUAUUACAAAAAUCCCAACUCCCUAUACAUAUUACAAAAAUCCCCACAUAUGCACAGAAUGCUAUGUAUAUGUCGGCUAUGUUAUAUGUCGGCUAUGUUAUGUAUAUUAAUAGCAAGAGAGAGUAGAGUAAUUUUAAAAGUGGGAGGGAGCGUAAUUACUUCCAAAAGGGUUGGCAUUUAUGUUAUUUAUACUUUUUUUUUCAUGAUGAAAUCAGCACUUAGUUACCAGUGGAUCCCUACGAGGAGAGAAAAGUGGUGAAGUUUUCAUCCGAGAGCCAAAUAUCCCUAAAAGAGAAGAAUGAGGUUAAUGGAGAGAAAGGAUUUUCUUCUAAGGGUGGUUGCUCCUCUCUGUCGUGCCAAUGAUUUUCUGUAGCUACAAUACCAACAACCCUUGUUCUUGCAAUAUUCCGAAGCAGAAGAUGAUCAAUCCAUAUAUAUGUGUAUUCUUGGGGAAUUUGCACUAAUGACCUUUUUUGAGCUAGCGAUGAUAAUAAUAGCACUUGCUGGGUUAACAAAAAUGGGGCAUUGAAGACAGUCCGACCCGUAUCUUGGCCUUGCAAAUUCCAGGAUGGCCUGCAACUGCAGCUGAGGCUCGUUCUUUUGCAUGCAACUGGUGAUUUUGCAGCCAUGGCGUGGUGGCAUUCUCUUUAAGGGUGGUUGCCCCUAUCUGCAACUCUAGUGAUUUCUCAUAUGGAAGGAAAAUGAAAAAAAUAAAUAAAUCAAACAACCCUUUAAAUCUCCGGGGAAAAUUAUUCGCACCCUGUUGAAAUUGCUGAAUCACAUUGUCCCUUAUGUUAUGGAUUUGAACUAACUUGAUCGCAUGAAGAAAGCGAGAGAGAGAGAGAGAGAGAGAUAGAUUCUGAGGCUUCAGUGAUACUUGACCAGAGAAAUUAAGAGACCUGUAUCUUGGCAGCGCGACCUGGAACGCAGCCCAAGGUUUGCAGCCAUGGCUGUGUCUUCAUUCUCUUGUUUUAUCAACUGAUCUGAGCUUCAUUGCUCAUUUUGGAUGGUUGUUACCUAAUGUAUCGCAGUGCUAUUAAGGGUGUCUUUGGUAAGAAGGGAAAUGCUUAGAGUAAAGCAUCUAGUGCCCCCUGAACUUGACCGAAUUUGCUACGACACACUCCAACUUCACGAGGGUCCUAUUACCCCCUUGAACUAAAUUUUAGCUUAUUUUUGUCAUUUUUUUUAAGCUGACGUGGCACCUUUUGUCAACCUAUUUAGCUGACGUUAACACCUUUGACAUGGCCCCAUUUUAUGUAAUAAAGGUGCCAUGUCAGAACAAAAGGGUGAUAAAAAUACGCCAAAACUGAAUUCAGGGAGGUAAUAGGACCCUGUGAAAACUGAUAUCUUUCCUAAAAUCCAACCUGUAUCUUGGCGGGGCAACCUGGUAGGGCAUCCAUCUGCAAACCGGUGUCCGCAGCCAUGGCUUGUGUUGCUUUCUCUUUCAUGUUGAUAUACUGCAGAAUCUGAGCCCCAAAAGUUUAACGGGUCUUCAAUGGAACUGGAAAACCCAAUAAUGCCCUCUUAGCAUAUGUAUGGUCUCUGUGUGUGUAUAUAUUGCAUGUCUCUUUCUGUCUCUCUUACCUUUGCAGGGUAGAGAGGUUGUUUCCAACAGACUCCUGGCUCAUGAAAAAGUGUUCUUAUGGUUUUUAAAAUUUGCUCCGAGUUGUCCAAACGCCUACUUGUGGGAAUGUUCCCAUCUUUCACAAGAGGCUAUGAUGAUAUUGCUAAUCUGGGCUGAUGUUUGGCGUGGAGACAAUCUGACCCGUAUCUUGGCAUGGCACACCCGGAUGGUUUGUGAUUGAGUCUUCUCUUUCACGUGCUACCGAUUCCUUUGCAGCCAUGGCAUUGUCACGUUCUCUUUCUCCCAUUUGCUGCAGAUCUGAGCCUCGAUUUCCAACUAGUCCUUCUGGACAGUUCAGGAUACGAACCCAGGACCUGUAGUUUGGUGAACACCAUUUUGGUUGUUCACUUUUUCUUGAACACCUGAUGGUGUUCUCCGUCAAAUUUUAGGUAAAAAGAAUGAGUCAGUUGGAGAAAAAAUGGGAAGUUAUCUGGAUUUUCCGGGUGGCUGACCAUUUCCAUCACGCCUAUGAUUUCUAGUAUCUUUUAGCUCUAAGUAAUGUUAAGGACCAUUUUUGAUCAUUUUCUCUUUGCAUCUGUUACUGUCAUACUCUCUUCCUCAGAGGCUAUGUUUUCCUGAAAAAGCAACAGCAAAAGCAUACAACAAUGAAAUUGAAAAGGAUAAUAACGGGGCUGUGAUGAUACUUUUACUGAGCAAAUGAAAUCGGGUAUCGUUGAUUCAGGCCCGUAACUUGGCAGGGCGACCCAAGUUAUAGGGUUUGCAACCAUGGCGGUUUCUAAUAACUCAAUGCCUCAGAUAAAUUAAAGAUCUGAGCCCAGAAGGAAGAAUGAAGUCAACCAAUAACCUUUUUUUUUUCAUUGGUAUAUUUACACUUUGUUUGGAUGGUGGUUUCCCAUGGUAUGGUAUGGGGUGUACAUAUUUCGGUUUAGUUUUGUAUCCUGACGGGGAAAAUCCGGAUGAGUAAUGGAAGCUCAGCCCAGUGUGAAUAAUGAGGCCAACAGGGAGAAAAAGGGAAUUUCUUUGGAGGGUGGUUGCCUCUGCUGAUUGGCUAAUGAUUUCUCCUUUAACCUCUCCAACAACCCUCUGCCAAACUGGAAACUAGAAACAAUGUUUGUUGCCAUCAGCUUCAAUGUUGGCUAUUUGAUGUUGAAGGUAGUAGUUCUAUUCAAUUUUCUGAUUAUUCUAAGCUAAGGUCUCAUUUUUUUUAAUUAAUUUUUCCUGUUAAAGUCGUACAAACGGCUCUACUGAAAAAGUUUCCAUGUUUUCCGAAAAAGGCAGUGAUGAUAUUGCUAAUAUGGGCUGCUGUUUGGGGAAGGGAGGCAAUCUGACCCGUAUCUUGGCAUGGCAAACCUGGAUGGCUUGUGCUUAAGUCUUCUCUUUCACAUGCAACUGGUUCUUUUGCAGCCAUGGAGCUGUCGCCUUCUCUUUGCCCCAUUUUUUGCAGAUCUGAGCCUCAAUAUCCAACUAAUCCAACUGGACGUCCCAGGACUUGAAAAAUAAUAUUACAGUACUGUUUGGUCUGCAAGAUUCACUUCCAAGCACCCAACCUGUAAAGUCAACUCCCAAUAGUACCUAUGUUUUCUUCUGUUAAUCAAUUUUCUAAUGAUAGGGCUGUGACGGUUGAUUGUUAUUGAGAAUAUGGAACCUGGCACUGAUGUUUCUGACCUGUAUCUUGGCGGGUCAACCCGUAUUAUUGGGUUUGCAGCCAUGGCAGUGUCAGAGAACUCAUUGCCGGGGUUAAUCACUUAUCCGAGCCUCAAGUUUUUUUGAUAUGACUGAAUACAUUGACGGUCCCUCAAACUUUCUGAAAGCUUUCAUUUGGACGUCCAACUAAGGGUGGUUUGAACACGUAGAGCCAAACUGUGUCUAUUAGACACACAUUGCUGAAAUUGUCCGAACAGGCUCUUAUGGAAAAGUUCCCAUUUUUUGGAAGAGGCAAUGAUGAUAUUGCUGACCGGUAGCUUGGCAAGGAUAACCAGGAUGGCUUGUUUGGUAUAUUUCUCCAUCAACCUCUGUUUUCAUUUCUUUUCUUUGGUAUAUUUUGGGGUGUUCAUGGUUUGGUUUUGGUUUUGGUUUUGGUUUUGUCCUAAAAAGAAGGCAAAUAUCUGUUGCCAUUGAUGUGAUGCUGAUAUCAAUAGUACUCCCUCCGUUCAUUUUUUGUCUCGAAACUGUCCACAAAUGCAGUGCAGAAGUUUUCAUUAUCCGAGAGGAAGUGAUGAUAUUGCUAAUCUGGGCUGAUAUUUGAGGCAUGGAGAAAACCCGACUCAUAUCUUGGCGGGGUGAAAUUGAAUCAUGCAAUUGGUUCAUUUUGCAGCCAUGGCGUUGUCGUCUUCUCUUUGCUGCAUUUUACACAGAUCUGAGCCUCAACUUCCAACUGAUCUUUAUAUAGGGGUCCUAACAAUGAUUGUGUACUUCUCCCACUUCACAGCGUUGAUAAAAUCCGAUCAGUAAUUUGUCAUGUCAACCUGGUAUGGCCCUCUCUGCUAUGUCCAUGAUUUUCCCAUUCGUAAAACUAACCCUUUUAGAAAAGACAAAAGAGUAGAGGCAAAUGAUAAUUGAUGAACCAUCUCAACAACACCGCCUGUGUAUUCCUCUGUAAAAAGGGCUACGCUCUUCCUUUCUCUGCUUCUGCUGUGACCACUUAGAUACCUGGUGUCUACGUUGAUCGUUGCAGAUCACCUGAAAAUAGGCUGUGAUGAUGAUUUCUUCUUUCUGGGCUGCUUUGAGAAAAUCUGACCAUAUCUUGGUGGGGCGACCUGGUAUGGUGUUGUCUUUAAACCGGUGUCUGCGGCCAUGGCAUGGUCACUUUCUUUUUGCAUGUUCUUAGAAAAGCAAAAUUUGGGCCCUAAAAGUUUUAUGCCAACCAUUUGAUGGUUUUGAAUUGGAUGGUCGUUCUCAGGACGUGGAAAAUCCAAUUGGGUUCUACACUAUUUUCCUGAAUACCCCAUUUUAGAUGCUGUUCUCCAUCAACUUUUUAGCUCAAAAAUGAGGCAAUUGGAGAAAAUGGGGAUAUUUCAGUGUGGUUGACCAUCUCUGGGAUGCCAAUGAUUUCUUUUUUGCUUUAAUCAACAGCCCUCUUUUACAUAUGUAUGUGUGUGUGUAUAUAUAUUGUAUGUCUGUGUCUGUCUAUAUCUACCUAUCACUACCCUGCUCCUGCAUCGCUGCAUUUUCAGGCAAAUUAGCAUUGAAAGUAUGAGAGUUGUGACCCGAAUUUUGUUGUUCCGGGCCUGAAAGUCUCACGGUGUGACCCAUGUUUGUGAUUUUCAAUGGGGUCAGUGGUGGGAGCGUAGGGAUCGGGCCGAUCUAGGACUUAUUUGUACGCACAUAUUAUAUUAGAGCGAUUUAGUGGGCUGUUUUGAGUCAUUCAGAAAAAUACAUGAAAUUGAGACAUAGUCUUCCCAUUGUACUCUUCUCCAUUAUAGUGAAAUCCUCUGCCUCUGCCCGUGGUUUUUCCCGCAAGGAUUUCAACGUAAAUCUGUGUGUUGUUGUUUUUCUUUCUGCUUGUGGUUUGCUUUAUUCUGUCCGAUUUAUAACAGAAAGCAUAAAAUUGGGAGGAGUAGUUUCUUAAAUGUAGACUUGGGGGUCUCUUCGGUUAACUUUUCUCUUAUAAAUCAGUGUGUUUUACUUCACAAGAUUUCCUUUUUUUUUUUUUUGAAAUUUUGAUUAUUAUUGGCAUGUUAUAGAUGCUUCUGCUUCAGCUUAAACUAAGGCUCAGAGAUUAAUGUCUUCCAAAAACUUAAAACACAUUUGAAACAAAAAAGAGACCGUACAGGUAACCUGCUGAGGAUGUCCGUAAUUAUUUAAGAAGAAACAGUAACAUAGAGGGUUUAGCAAAAUCCCUAUAGUUAAGCCCGGAAAGGAAGAAUGAGAUAUUAGAGGGAUGGGGUUUUCUGUAAAGGGUGGUUGCCCCUUUCUGCAUGUCCAUGAUUUUCCCAUUUGUAAAACCAACAACCCUUUGACAAAAGCAAAACAAGUAGGGGAAAAUGUCAGCUAAGUUGCUCGGACUCUCCUAAAUGUUGCCGCUCCCGUGUCGGAUUCUCCAAAAUGCACUACUUUUGAGGAUCCGACAGGCAGCCGAUGACAUUUUUGAAGAAUCCAAGCAACAUAGAUAAUUGAUAAACCAUCUCAACAACACCCCUCGAGUAUUCCUCUGUAAAAAGGGGCGGGCUACUCUCUUCCUUUCUCUGCUUCUUUUGCGACCACUUAGAUACCUGGUGUCAUAUCUAGUUUACUGCUUUGAGAAUUUUUUUUUUUUAUCUUGGUGGGGCGACCCGGUAUGGCGUUGUCUUUAAACCGGUGUCUGCAGCCAUGGUGUGUCACUUUCUCUUAGCAUGAUCAUAUACAGCAAAGUCUGAGCUAUAUAUAUAUUCUAUUACGACUGUUAGCUGGAAACACUCACCACUCUUUAGCCCAGAAAGCAAGAAUUGAGACAUCGGAGAGAGAGAAAAAAAGGGAUUUUCUGUAUAGGGUGGUUGCCCCUCUCAAUCUCUCAAUAUGUCCAUGACUUCUUCUCCAUUCAUAAAUUAUUUUUUUUAAAAAACAAAAUCAACAGCCCUUUGAAAAAGAAAAGCAUAAUCAAGAAGCAUGGAUGCAGAAAUUCCAUUUUUCUUAGAGUAAAGCAUCUAAGACCCACUAAACUAUGACCAAAUUUGCUACGACACACUCCAACUUCAUGGUGGUAUUAUCAACCCCCUGAAUUAAAUUUAACGUAAUUUUUGUCGGCCUUUUUAUCUGACUUGACACUUUUUGUCAACUUUUUUAGCUGACAUGACACCUUGACGUAGGCCCCAUUUUAUGUAAUAAAGGUGCCACGUCAGUAAAAAGGGUGAUAGUUCGAGUUUGUACUUGAUGCUUAUCUCUUUUUUUGUUUUUUUAUUCUAAAUUUAUAUACAUGUAUAUAUAAAGAUGGCUGUUUUUUCAAGACCCCACUAUGUGGGAAUAUACUGGGUUUUUUGUUGUUGUUUUUUCAAGAAUUAGCAAAAAUGGGCUGUGAUGAUGAUUUGUUUCUUUCUGGGCUAAUAAUCUUCUUCACUGCAUUGAGAAGAUCCGACCCGUAUCUUGGCGGGGCGACCCGAUAAGGUAUCCAUUUGCAAACUGGUGUCUUGCAGCCAUGGCGUGUGUUGGUUUGGUUUCUGUUCUGCAUGUUUGUAGCACAGAAAAAUCUGAGCCCUCAAAAGUUUUUACUGUAAAACCCAAUCUUGUGGCUAGCGGUGUUAGUUUAUUUUGCAUGCCAUACUACUUUAUAUGCACUUAUCUUUUGGGUUUGUUAUACUGUUAUCGUUCUAAGCCGGGGGUCUAUCGGACACAGCCUCUCUGCUUCAGUAAAGGGUGGUUGCCCCUCUCUGUUAUGUCCAUGAUUUUCCCAUUCGUAAAACUAACAACCCUUUGAGAAAAGACAAAAGAGUAGAGGCAAAUGAUAAUUGAUAAACCAUCUCAACAACACCGCUUGUGUAUUCCUCCGAAAAAAAGGCUAUGCUCUUCCUUUCUCUGCAUCUGCUGCGACCACUUAGAUACCUGGUGUCAUAUCUUCGUUGAUCAUCGCAGAUCACCUGAAAAUGGGCUGUGAUGAUGAUUGCUUCUUUCUGUGCUAUCUAGUUUACUGCUUGGAGAAAAUCUGACCCAUAUCUUGGUGGGGCGACCUGGUAUGGCGUUGUCUUUAAACCGGUGUCUGCAGCCAUGGUGUGUCGCUUUCUCUUUGCAUGAUCAUAUACAACAAAGUCUGAGCUCUAACUAUAUAUAUUCUUUUUCUUUUUUUUUUUUUCUUUGGUUUCCCAUCCGGUGUCUGGUACCCGCAUUGGAGCCCGACUAAUCUGGAUUCGCGCCGGGUAGGGCCCCAGUCGUGGGUAGCGCUCCCAACAGAGUUUUCUCCAUGCCCAGGGUCGAACCCUCGACCUCUGGUUAAGGGUGGAGCAGCCCCAUCCGCAGCACCACAACCCAUGUUGGUAACUAUAUAUAUAUUCUAUUACUACUGUUUACCUGGAAACACUCACCACUCUUUAGCCCAGAAAGCAAGAAUUGAAACAUCGAAGAGAGAGAAAAAAGGGGAUUUUCUGUAAAGGGUGGUUGCCCCUCUCAAUCUCUCAAUAUGUCCAUGAUUUCUUCUCCAUUCAUAAAUUCUUUUUUUUUUUUAAAAAAAACAAUAGCCCUUUGAAAAAGAAAAGCAUAAUCAACAAGCAUGCAUGCAGAAAUUCCAUUUUUUUUUAGAGAAAAGCAUCUAAGUACCCCAUGUACUGACCAAAUUUGCUAUGACACACUCCAACUUCACGGGGUCCUAUUACCCCUUUGUACUAAAUUUAACAUAUUUUUUGUCAACCUUUUUAGCUAAUGUGACACUUUUUGUCAACCUUUUUAGCUGACAUGACACCUUUGAUGUGGGCCCCAUUUUAUGUAAUACAGGUGCCAUGUCAGUGCAAAAGGGCGAUAGUUCGAGUUUGUACUGGAUGGUUAUCUCUUUUUUUUAUUAUAAAUCUAUAUACAUGUAUAUAUAAAGAUAGCUGUUUUUUCAAGAAUUCGGAAAAAUGGUCCGUCAUGAUGAUUUGUUUCUUUCUGGGCUAAUUAUCUACUUCACUGCAUUGAGAAGAUCCAACCCGUAUCUUGGCGGGGCGACCCGGUAAGGUAUCCAUUUGCAAACUGGUGUCUUGCAGCCUGUGUUGGUUUGGUUUCUCUUUUGCAUGUUUGUAGUACAGCAUAAUCUGAGCCCUCAAAAGUUAUUAAAAGAUGAUUAUAGACAAUAUCUGCAUAUACUUUGACUUUUCUCAGAGCUCAUUUAUGAAAUUAUUUAGAGAUAUACCUCAUUGAUAUAUUAAAGAAAGAACUUGGCCAAUUUUCUGUACCAAUCAAUUUUUUUUUUAUAUAUAUUAGCUGCCUGCAACUGAUACUUUGUGGACUAAUCAAUAAACAAAUAAUAAAUCCCCAGCUUAGGAGCCACGUAGUGGAGUAUUGUAGUGCUAUUUAGGGUGUCUUUGGUAUGAAGUGAAAUGCUUCAACUUCAUGGGGGUCCUAUUACCCCCCCAACUAAAUUUUGGCGUAUUUUGUCAUCCUUUUUAGCUAACAUGGCACCUUUGACAUGGGCCCUGUUGUAUGUAAUAAAGGUCCAACCUGUAUCUUGGCAGGGCAACCUGGUCGGGCAUCCAUCUGCAAACCGGUGUAUGCAGCCAUGGCUUGUGUUGCUUUCUCGUUCAUGUUGAUAUACUGCAGAAUCUGAGCCCCAAAAGUUUAAUGGGUCUUCAGUGGAACUGGAAAACCCAAUUAUUGUUUCUGUUUUCUUGAACACCAAAUUUCAGAUGCAGUCUUCAUCAAUUUUUAGCUCCAAAAAUGUGGUAAAUGGAGAAAAACGGGGAUUUUUCAGGGUGGUUGACCAUCUCUCAGUGAUUUUUGUUAGCUCUAAUAAUGCCCUCUUAGCAUAUGUAUGGUCUUUCUGCGUGUGUAAUAUUGCACGUCUCUUUCUGUCUCUCUUACAUUGCUGGGUAGAGAGGUAGUUUCAAGUAGACCCCCUGCUCAUGAAAUGUGCACUUAUGUUUGUUAAAAUUUACUCUGUUGUCCAAAUGCCUACUUGUGGGAAUGUUCCCAUCUUUCACACGAGGCUAUGAUGAUAUUGCUAAUCUGGGCUGAUGUUUGGGCGUGGAGACAAUCUGACCCUUAUCUUGGCAUGGCAAAUCCGGAUUGUUUGUGAUUGAGUCUUCUCUUUCACAUGCUACCGGUUCCUUUGCAGCCAUGGCGUUGUCACAUUCUCUUUUCCCCAUUUGCUGCAGAUCUGAGCCUCGAUUUCCAACUAGUCCUUCUGGACAGUUCAGGAUACUAACCCAGGACCUGUGGUUUGGUGAACACCAUUUAGGUUGUUCACUUUUUCUUGAACACCUGAUGGUGUUCUCCGCCAAAUUUUAGCUAAAAGAAUGAGGCAGUUGGACAAAAAAUGGGAAGUUAUCUGGAUUUUCCGGGUUGUUGACCAUUUUCAUCACGCCUAUGAUUUCUAGUAUCUUUUAGCUCUAAGUAAUGUUUAGGACCUUUUUGGAUCAUUCUCUCUUUGCUUCUGCUACUGUCACUCUCUUCCUCUGAAGCUAUGUUUUCCUGAAAAAGCAACAGCAAAAGCAUACAACAAUGAAAUUGAAAAGGAUAAUAACGAGGCUGUGAUGAUACUUUUACUGAGCAAAUGAAAUCAGGUAUUGUUGAUUCAGGCCCGUAUCUUGGCAGGGCGACCCAAGUUAUAGGGUUUGUAGCCAUGGCGGUUUCUAAUAACUCAAUGCCUCAUACAAAUUAAAUAUCUGAGCCCAAAAGGAAAAAUGAAGCCAACCAAUAAGCUUUUUUUUCAUUGGUAUAUUUACACUUUGUUUGGAAGGUGGUUUCCCUUGGUAUGGUAUGGUAUGGGGUGUACAUAGUUCGGUUUAGUUUUGUAUCCUGACAGGGAAAGUCCGGAUGAGUAAUGGAAGCUCAGCCCUGUGUGAAUAAUGAGGCCAACAGUGAGAAAAAAGGAAUUUCUUUGGAGGGUGGUUGUCUCCGCUGAUUGGCCAAUGAUUUCUCCUUUAAUCGUUCCAACAACCCUCUGCAAAACUGGAAACAAGAAACUGUUUAUUGCCCUCAGCUUCAAUGUUGGUGAUUGGAUGUUGAAGGUUAUCAUUUUAAGCUAAGGUCUUCUGUUUGUUUUAUUAAUUUUUCCUGUUGAAGUCAUUCAAACGGGCUCUAAGGGAAAAGUUUCCAUCUUUUCCGAAAGAAGCAGUGAUGGUAUUGCUAAUAUAGGCUGAUAUUUGGGGAAUGGAGGCAAUCUGACCCGUAUCUUGGCAUGGCAAACCUGGAUGGCUUGUGCUCGAGUCUUCUCUUAUACAUGCAACUGGUUCUUUUGCAGCCAUGGUGCUGUCGCCUUCUCUUUGCCCCAUUUUUUGCAGAUCUGAGCCUCAAUAUCCAACUAAUCCACCUGGACGGCCCAGGACUUGAAGAAUAAUAUUACAAUACUGUUUGGUCUGCAAGAUUCACUUCCAAGCACCCAACCUGUAAAGUCAACUCCCAACAGUACCUAUAUUUUCUUCCAUUAAUUAAUUUUCUAAUGAUAGGGCUUUGACGCUUGAUUGUUAUUGAGAAUAUGGAACCUGGCACUGUUGUUUCAGACCUGUAUCUUGGCGGGGCAACCCGUAUUAUCGGGUUUGCAGCCAUGGCAGUGUCAGAGAACUCAUUGCCGGGGUUAAUCACUUAUCUGAGCCUCAAGUCAUUUUGAUAGGACUGAAUACAUUGAUUGUCCCUCAAACUUGCUGAAAGCUUUCAUUUGGACAUCCAACUAAGGGUGGUUUGAACACGUAGAGCCAAACUGUGUCUAUUAGACACCCAUUGCUGAAAUUGUCCGAACAGGCUCUUAUGGAAAAGUUCCCAUUUUCGGAAGAGGCAGUGAUGAUAUUGCUGACCUGUAGGUUGGCAUGGAAAACCAGGAUGGCUUGUUUGGUAUAUUUCUCCAUCAACCUCUGUUUUCAUUUUUUUUUCUUUGGUAUAUUUUGGGGUGUUCAUGGUUUGGUUUUGGUUUUGGUUUUGUCCUAAAAAGAAGGCAAAUAUCUGUUGCCAUUGAUGUGAUGCUGACAUCAAUAGUACUCCCUCCAUUCAUUUUGUGUCUCGAAACUGUCCAAAAUGACAGUGAAGAAGUUUUCAGUAUCCGAGAGACAGUGACGAUGUUGCUAAUCUGGGCUGAUAUUUGAGGCAUGGAGAAAACCCGACUCGUAUCUUGGCAGGGUGAAAUUGAAUCAUGCAAUCGGUUCAUUUUGCAGCCAUGGCGUUGUCGUCUUCUCUUUGCUGCAUUUUACACAGAUCUGAGCCUCAACUUCCAACUGAUCUUUACAUAGGGGUCCUAACAACGACUGACUGUGUACUUCCCCCCACUACACAGCGUUGAUAAAAUCUUUUCCGUAAUUUGGCGGGGCAACCUGGUAUGGCAUCAUUUGCAAACCAGUGUCUGCAGCCAUGGCAUGGUCACUUUCUCUUUGCAUGUUCAUAGAAAAGGAAAAUUUGAGCCCUAAAAGAUUUGCACAACCAUUUGAUGGUCUUGAAUUGGAUGGUUGUUCUCAGGACCUGGAAAACCCAAUUGGGUUCUACACCUUUUUCCUGAACACCCCAUUUCAGAUGCUGUUUUCCAUCAACUUUUUAGCUCAAAAAUAAGGCAAUUGGAGAAAAAUCGGGAUUUUUCAGGGCGGUUGACCAUCUCCGGUAUGCCAAUGAUUUCUUUUUGCUCUAAUCAACAGCCCUCUUUUACAUAUGUAUGUGUGUGUGUAUAUAUAUAUUGUAUGUCUGUGUCCGUCUAUAUCUACCUAUCACUAUCCUGCUCCUGCAUCGCUGCAUUUUCAGGCAAAUUAGCAUUGAAAGCAUAAAAUUGGGAGGAAUAGUUUCUUAAAUGUAGACUUAGGGGUCUCCUUGGUUAACUUUUCUCUUACAAAUCAGUGUGUUUUACUUCACAAGAUUUCCUUCUUUUUUUUUUUUUUUUUAAAUUUUGGUUAUUAUUGGCAUGUUAUAGAUGCUUCUGCUUCCAGCUUAAACUAAGGCUCAGAGAUUAAUGUCUUCCGAAAACUUAAAACACAUUUGAAACAAAAAAGAGACCGUACAGGUAACCUGAUGAGGAUGUCCAUAAUUAUUUAAGCAGAAACAGUAACAUAGAGGGUUUAGCAAAAUCCCCGCAGUUAAGCCCGGAAAGGAAGAAUGAGACGAUAGAGGGAUGGGGUUUUCUGUAAAGGGUGGUUGCCCCUCUCUGCUAUGUCCAUGAUUUUCCAAUUCGUAAAACCAACAACCCUUUGAGAAAAGACAAAAGAGUAGAGGCAAAUGAUAAUUGAUGAACCAUCUCAACAACACCGCUUGUGUAUUCCUCUGUAAAAAGGGCUAUGCUCUUCCUUUCUCUGCUAAAGCUGCGACCACUUAGAUACCUGGUGUCAUAUCUUCGUUGAUCAUCGCAGAUCACCUGAAAAUAGGCUGUGAUGAUGAUUGCUGCUUUGAGAAAUUCUGACCAUAUCUUGGUGGGGCGACCUCGUAUGGCGUUAUCUUUAAACCGGUGUCUGCAGCCAUGGUGUGUCACUUUCUCUUUGCAUGAUCAUAUACAGCAAAGUCUGAGCUCUAACUAUAUAUGUAUAUAUGUAUUCUAUUACUACUGUUUAGCUGGAAACAGUCAACACUCUUUAGCCCAGAAAGCAAGAAUUGAGACAUCAUAGAGAGAGAGAAAAAGGGAUUUUCUGUAAAGGGUGGUUGCCCCUCUCAAUCUCUCAAUAUGUCCAUGAUUUCUUCUCCAUUUUUGUUUUUAAAAACAAAAUCAACAGCCCUUUGAAAACGAAAAGCAUAAUCAAGAAGCAUGGAUGCAGAAAUUCCAUUUUUUCUAGAGUAAAGCAUCUAAUACCCCCUGAACUAUGAUCGAAUUUGCUACGACACACUCCAACUUCACGGGGUCCCUAUUACCCCCGAACUAAAUUUAACAUAUUUUUUGUCGGCCUUUUUAGCGGACGUGACACUUUUUGUCAACCUUUUUAGCUGACAUGACACCUUUGACGUGGGCCCCAUUUUAUGUAAUAAAGGUUCCACAUCAGUGCAAAAAAGGGUGAUAGUUCGAGUUGGUACUGGAUGCCUAUCUCUUUUUUAUUAUAAAUCUAUAUACAUGUAUACCUAAAGAUGGCUGUUUUUUCAAGAAUUAAGGAAAAAUGGGCCGUGAUGAUGAUUUGUUUCUUUCUGGGCUAAUAAUCUACUUCACUGCAUUGAGAAGAUCCGACCCGUAUCUUGGUGGGGCGACCCGGUAAGGUAUCCAUUUGCAAACUGGUGUCUUGCAGCCAUGGCGUGUGCUGGUUUCUCUUUUGCAUGUUUGUAGUACAGCAAAAUCUGAGCCCUCAAAAAUUUUUACGGUAAAACCCAAUGUUGGGUUCUUGAAUUUUUUGUUGAACACCCAAUUUUCCAUCCUUUUUUAGCUUAAAGUAGAUGUAACUGGAGGAAAAAGAUUCGACUGUGUUGACAAAAUUCGACCCAUAUCUUUGCGGAGCGACCUGCUAACCGGUGUACAGCAGCCAUGGCAUGUGUUGGUUUCUUGGGAAGUGAGAUACCCAAGUUGGGUUCUUGAGUUUUUCUUGAACACUCCAUUUUACAUGCAGUUGCUCUAUCAAAUUUUCGCUAAAAAAAUGAGGUAAUCGGAGUAAAAAUGGGAUUUUUCUGGGUGGUCACUUUCUCUUUGCAAACGGGUGUCUGCAGCCAUGGUGUGGUCACUUUCUCUUUGCAUGUUCAUAGAAAAGGAAAGUUUGAUCCCUAAACGUUUUACGCCUACCAUUUGAUGGUCUUGAAUUGGAUGGUCAUUCUCAGGACCUGGAAAACCCAAUUGGGUUCUACACUUGUUUCCUGAACACGCCAUUUCAGAUGCUUUUCUCCCCCAACUCUUUUAGCUCAAAAAUGAGGCAAUUGGAGAAAAAUGGGAUUUUUCAGGGUGGUUGGCCAUCUCCGGCAUGCCAGUGAUUCUUUUUUGCUCUAAUCAACAGCCUCUUUUGCACAUGUAUAUGUGUGUGUGUGUAUAUAUAUAUAUAUUGUAUGUCUGUGUCUGUCUAAAUAUCUAUCUAUGACUACCCUGCUCCUGCAUGGCUGCAUUUUCAGGUAAAUUAGCAUUGAAAGCAUAAAAUUAGGAGGAUUAGUCUCUUAAAUGUAGACUUAAGGGGUCUCUUCGGUUAAGUUUUCUCUUAUAUAUCAGUGUGUUUUACUUCAGAAGACUCCAAAUUUUUUUUUUUUUUGGGGGAGAUUUUGGUCGUUAUGGCCUGACAUAGAUGCUUCUGCUUCAGCUUAAACUAAGGCUCCGAGAUCAAUGUCUUCCAAAAACUUAAAACACAUUUGAAACGAAAAAGAGACCGAACAGGUAACCUGCUGAGGAUGUCCAUAAUUAUUAAAUCAGAAACAGUAGUUUAGAGGGUUUGAAGGGUAGCCUUGGAGUAAAUGGUAAAGUUGCUGCCAUGUGAUAAGGAGGUCAUGGGUUCAAGCCUUGGAAACAACCUUUGGCAGAAAUGCAAGGUAAGAAUGCGUACAGUACACCCUUGUGGUGGGGCCCUUGGCCCUGCGCACAGUGGGGGCUUUAAUGCACCGGGUUGCCCUUUUUUGUAGUUUGGAGGGUUUAGCAAAAUCCUGGCAGUUAAGCCCAGAAAGGAAGAAUUAGACGUUAGAGAGAUGGGAUUUUCUGUAAUGGGUGGUUGCCCCUCUCUGUUAUGUCCAUGAUUUUCCCAUUCAUUAAACCAACACCCCUUGUGUAUUCCUCUGUAAAAAGGGGCUACGUUCUUCCUUUGCUUCUGUCGCGACCACAUGGUUACCUGGUGUCAUAUCUACGUUGGUCGUCGCAGAUCACCUGAAAAUGGGCUAUGAUGAUGAUUGCUUCGUUCUGGGCAUCUAGUUUACUGCUUUGAGAAAAUCUGACCCGUAUCUUGGUGGGGCAAUCCGGUAUGGCGUUGUCUGUAAACCGGUGUCUGCAGCCAUGUUGUGGCACUUUCUCUUUGCAUGAUCAUAUACAGCAAUGUCUGAGCUCUAAAGAAGUCUUCUGCACAACAAUGAGAAUUUUCCCGGGGGAAUGAGUGUGUGUUUUACUUCACAAAAUGGAUGUUCAGCUCAGCAUGAAGAAUGAGGCCAACAGUAAGAAGAGGGAAUUCUUGUGAGGGUGGUUGCCCCCUCUGCUUGGUCUAUGAUUUUUCCAUCAACCAAACCAACAACCCUCUUCAAACGUACCACUACUAGUUUUUUAUUUCAAGGAGCUAAAACCAAACAUCCUAUGAUUUUAACGUUUAUUAAUCAAAAGUUGUGUGGAAUUGUCCAGAGUCUACUGUGAAAAAGUUUUCAUUUUUCAAAAUAGGCAGUGAUGAUCUUGCUAAUACUGGCUGAUAUUCAGGGGCAUGGAGACCAUCCGACCCAUUUUCUUGGCAGGGCAAACGUGGAUGGUUUGUGAUCGAGACCUCCUCUGUCACAUGCAACUGGUUCUUUUGCAGCACUGGUGGUGUUCCCUUCUCUUUGCCCCAUUUUCUUGCAGGUCUGAGCCUCAAUCUCGAGCUAGUUUUUCUGGACUUUCUGAAUUCUGAACCUAAGGUCUUCACGAGUGGAAACCCAUGUUAUUUUUGAAAAUUCCAUGUUGUUGUUGCAUCUUCUUCCUUUUCUUUUGUUCAUGAUGGUGAUUUAUUGUGUUAUCAACCAAAUAGUAAGAUAUCACUGUAAGAACAGGGAGAAUUUAUGGCUGUGAUGAUGAUACUUUUUUUGAGCAAUAUGAAUUGCGCGUUGAGAUGUUAAGAGCCGUAUUCUUGGCUGGGUAACCUGAAGAGGUAGCAGCCAUGGUGGUUUCUGGUGGAUUCGAUGCUUGAUUAAAUUGACAUCUGAGCCUCCUUUUGUACAUGAUGCAGAUGUAUAUUGUCUGUAUCUUACACACACAAACAUACAUACAGACAUACAUAUCAUGAGAGAAUGUCCAAAAUAGUCUCUUAUGUAGGCGGUGAUGAUCUUUCAGUACGGACUCUAUCUUGGAGGGGCAAUGACCAGGUUGCAUGUGAUAUUGUUGCAUGCAACUAGAGGUAUUUGCAGCCAUGCCGUUGCUGGACUUUCUUUGCCUGAGCAUAAAUACAGGUCUGAGCCUCAAUUGUCCCUAAGAUUUUUCUGUGUAUCGCAAUGGAGGAAACUAUUGCAGUGACUAGAUGAACCUGAAGGUGAAUCGAAAAAUGGCAAACAUCUCAUUAGUUUUAUACACACACACAUAUAUAUAAGAGAGAGAGAGUCUAUUACUGCUGUUUAGCUGGAAACACUCACCACUCUAUAGCCCAGAAAGCAAGAAUUGAGACAUCAGAGAGAAAAAAUAAGGGAUUUUCUGUAAAGGGUGGUUUCCCCUCUCAAUCUCUCAAUAUGUCCAUGAUGUCUUCUCCAUUCAUAAAAUUAAAAAAGAAAAAAAAACAACAGCCCUUUGAAAAAAAAAAAAAAGCAAAAUCAAGAUCCAUGCAUGCAGAAAUGCGAUAUAUGUAUAUGUAUGUAUGUAUAUAUAAAGAUGUUUUUUCAAGAAUUAGGAAAAAUGGGCUGUGAUGAUGAUUUGUUUCUUUCUGGGCGAAUAAUCUACUCCACUGCAUUGAGAAGAACCGACCCGUAUCUUGGCGGGGCGACCCGGUAAGGUAUCCAUUUGCAAACUGGUUUCUUGCAGCCAUGGCGUGUGUUGGUUUGGUUUCUCUUUUGCAUGUUUGUAGUACAGCAAAAUCUGAGCCCUCAAAAGUUUUUACUGAAACCCAAUUUGGGGUACUUGAAUCUUUUGUUGAACACCCAAUUUUCCAUCCAUUUUUAGCUUCAAGUUGAUGUAAUUGGAGGAAAAAGAGGACUUUUUGGCUCAAAGUUAGGUAAUUGGAGAAAAAAGAGGAUCUUUUAGCUGCAUUUUAAAGAUUUUGGAACCUAAAUAAGGUAUUUUUAUUGAUGUUGCAACAACAGCAAUAACAACAAACCCAGUGUUUUCCCACGAAGUGGGGUCUGGGGAGGAUAAGAUAUACGCAAUCCAUACCGCUACCACCGAAGAAGUAGAGAGGCUGUUUCUGAUAGACCCCCGGCUCAAGAUAAAGACUAAUAAACAAGGAGGAUGGCUGACACAACAGAAAAAACAAGAAUAAGAAAUCAUAGAAAUGAAACCAGAGAAAAAACGAAAAUAUGAGAAAUAAAGGCAACACUAACUAAGAAAUAAGAAAUAGGCCCCCACCUAGUAAUAACAUACCCUCACAUACCAACAACACCUACGUACACAGUCCUAGGGUUACGAACCCGGCUACACAAGAUCUCUACAACCCACACACUCGCACUAGCCUUCUACCCUUACCCUUAUCCCCGACCUCCACACCUUCCUAUCUAGGGUCAUGUCCUCAGUAAGCUGAAGCUGCUCCAUGUCAUGCCUAAUCACCUCCCUCCAGUAUUUUUAUUUUUAUUGAUGUUGAUUGAUCUAAAAAAAUGCGCUCUGAUGAAGAUUUACUUCUUUCUGGGUUAGUAAUCUACUUCACUGUGUUGACAAGAUCUGACCUGUAUCUUGGCGGGGCGACCCGGCAACUGGUGUAUUGCAGCCAUGGUGUGUGUUGGUUUCUUGGGAAGUGAGACACCCAAGUUGGGUUCUUGAGUUUCUCUUGAAGACUCCAUUUUAGCUGCAGUUGCUCUAUCAAACUUUAGCUAAAAAAUGAGGUAAUCGGAGUAAAAAAAGGGAUUUUCCCGGGUGGUUGACCAUCUCUGCACGUCAGUGAUUUUAUCUUAGCUGUAAUCAACUGCCUUUUUAGCCUAUGUAUGAGAUCUAGACUUCUCUACUGUGUCAGCUGAUCACUCCACUUACAAAAUAAUCAUAUAGACAGCAUGUCAAAAAUUGAUGUGCCACGUAAGUGUUGGGUCUCCACUAUACACUGGGUGUGAGUUUGGAGUGUUUAGUUGUCAGUUUAGACCUAGUUGAGGUGUCUAGAUGCACACUCUUCAAAGUUUGGAGUGCUUACUUGUCAGCCGAGGCCAAGUUGAAGCCAUGUUUGUGGGUCUGUUUAUGUAUUAUACCAUAUAUAUGCGUGAAUUGUAAUUCUGUUUUUAUGUCUCUAUCUGUGAUUACUUUGCUGCUUUGUGGCUGCAUUUUCCGAUAAAGCAGCAGCAAGAACAUAGAAAAGGGACAGUUAAGCAGACUUACAGGUCUCUGGUUAAAUUAUCUUUUAUCAAUCAGAGCGUACUACAGAAAAAUGGAGGUUCAGCCCACUAUUAAGAGUGAGGCCAACAGUGAGAGAAGGGAAUUCUUGGAGGGUGGUUCACCUACUCUUAUAUCAAACAUCCCUCUUAGCUAAUGUUUUUGGGAUUUCACUGUGUUGGUUGUUGUUGCUGUUGUUUGUUGAAAGCUACUCGAAAUUGUCUAAACGCCUGCUUGUGGGCAAGUUUCCAUCUUUCCAAUGAGGCUGUGAUGAUGAUUCUUAUGGCAGAAUCCUGACCGUAGUUCGGUGCAGAAAGGAAAAAUGAGACAUCAGAGAGAUGGGAUUUUCUGUAAAGGGUGGUUUUCCCCUUGCUGCCAUGUCCAUGAUUUCUUCUCCAUUCAUAAAAAAACAACAGCUCUUUGAGAAAAGGAAAAUAUCAAGAAUUAUUUUGACGUUUGGCCAGAGAAUUCCAGAUAUUUUUAUAUGUUUCUUCCUUUUACUGCUUGUGCUUCUUUAAAGUGGCUGCUUUUUCAAGAGUUUGGAACCUAAAUUAUGUUUAUUGAUGUGAAAAAAUGGGCUGUGAUGAUGAUUUGCUUCUUUCUGGGCUAUAAUCUACUUCACUGCGUUGAGAAGACCCGACCCGUAUCUUGGCGGGGCUACCUGUGCAUCAUCUGCAAACCGGUGUCUUGCAGCCAUGGCGUGUGUUGAUUUCUCUUUGCAUGUUUGUAGAACAGCAAAAUCUGAGCCCUAAAAGUUUUACUAUAGCCACCUAUCUGGGUUCUUCAGUUUUUGUUGAACACCCUAUUUUUCUGAUGCAGUUCUCCACCAAUUUUUAGCUCAAAGUUGAGGUGAUCAGAGAAGAAAGAGGAUUUUUCUGGGUGGUUGACCAUCUCUGGUAUGCCUAUGAUUUCUUUUUUGCUCUAAUCAACAGCCCUUUAGCGCCAACAAACGCAAAAACCGUAUAUGAUCUUCCUUUUUCUGCUUAUGCUUCAGCAAUGUUCAAAUGACGCAACAAGAUAGAUUUGCUCAAGAGUCUGGAACCUUAAUGAUGUGAAAAAAAUGGCUAUGAUGAUGAUUUGCUUCUUUCUUGGCUAUAAUCUACUAAACUGCAUUGAGAAAAUCCGACCCGGAUCUUGGCGAGGCGACCUGGUAAGGCAUUCAUUUGCUAACCAAUGUAUCUGCAGCCUUGGCUAUGUCGAUUUCUCUUUGCAUUUAUGUAGCACAGCAAAAUCUGAGCCCCAAAGUAUAUAUAUAAAUAAUUUGACGGUUGUUCUCAUGAUUUGCAAACUUUAAACUUCCGCAUGACGCCCUCUCGAUUUCGAACCCAACAGAAUAAAAUGGAGGUCAAAGUGCGACCAAAGUAAUAUGCAUCUUCAUGUGUAUGUCAUUGUUGCCGUCUUCGGCUGCUUCUUAUUUGCUAAUUCCGCUGCCACCUGUCAGCAUGGAGGCUCUGAUGAGAAAUAUUUAAGUUAGGCUAUGGAUCUAAUAAAGCUGUAUCUUGGCUUGGCAAUCCAGAUUUUACUGAAAUUGCAGCCAUGACAGUGAUUUCCUUCUUUCUCUGAGCAUGUGUAUCGGAAAAGAAAACAAAUACACGUGUAUCUUGGUGGGGCAACUCAGUGGCAAGUGAGUUUUGUGUCAUGCAACUGGUGUUUCCUCAGCAGAACUGAGCCUCAAAUUCUCUCUUGGGUCAUACAUGGCGUAAUGGUAGCACGUCUAACUCCAGAUCAGAAGGUUGUGCUGUGUGUUCGGUUGACCAGUUACUGUGUCUUUGUAUGAUUGAAAAUACUUUUUCUGGAAAUCAGUAUUUAGUUAUCAAUGAGGAUAACAAGUGAAGGGAUAAGAUCCUGAAAAUGGGCUGUGAUGCUGAUUGCUUCUUUCUGAACUAUCUACUUUACUGUGUAGAGAAAUCUUACCCGUAUCUUGUGGGGCGACCUGGUAUAGCAUUCAUUUGCAAACCGUGUCUGCAGCCAUGACAUGGUUGGUUUCUUUCUCUUUCAUGUUCAUAGAAAAGCAAAAUCUGAGCCUUAAAUUUUCCAAGGAUGAUAAACAUGCCUCCUCAUUCUCUAAGGAUGAUAAAUCCGCAUUAAUAGCUUCACGAAUUUCAGACAUAUGACUAAAAAAGCUAUGGAGGAGAAGGAGGCCAGUGUUCAAUUAGAAAAUUAAUUAACAAAAGAAAACAUAGGUACUGUUGGGAGUUGACUUUACAGGUUGGGUGAUUGGAAGUGAAUCUUGCUGAUCAAACAGUAUUUUAAAGGGUCUCUGGUUGAAUUAUUGAAUCAUCUUUUAUUAAUCAGAGUGUUCUACAGAAAAAACGGAGGUUCAGCCCACUAUUAAGAAUGAGGCCAACAGAGAGAAAAGGGAAUUCUUGGAGGGUUGUUGCCCCCUCUGUUUGGCCUAUGAUUUCCCCAUAAACAAAAUGGACAACCCUCUUCAGACGUACUACUGCUGUUUCUGUUUUCAUUACUCUUAGACCAAACAUCCCUCUUAGCUUAUGUUUGUGGGAUGUCACUGGGUGGUUGUUGUUGUUGUUUGUUGAAAGUUACUCGAAAUUGUCCAAACGCCUACUUGUGCAGAAGUUUCCAUCUGUCAAAUGAGGCUGUGAUGAUGAUACUUUUGGCAGAAUCCUCACAUAGUUUGGCACAGAAAGGAAGAAUGAGACAUCAGAGAGAUGGAUUUUCUGUAAAGGGUGGUUGCUCCUCUCUGUCAUGUCCAUGGUUUCUUCACUAUUCAUAAAAACCAACAGCCCUUUGAGAAAAAAGGAAAAUACCAAUAAUUAUGUCGACGUUUACCAUAGAAUUCCAAAUAUUUUUAUAUGCUUCUUCCCUUUCUGCCUGUGCAUCUGCAAGGUAGAAAUGACACAAGGUCGCUGCUUUUUCAAGAGUUUGAAACCUAAAUGAGUUGUUUUAAUGGUCUAAAAAAAUGGGCUGUGAUGAAGAUUUGCUUCUUUCUGGACUAUAAUCUACUUCACUGCGUUGAGAAAACAUGACCUGUAUCUUGGCGAGGCAACCCGGUAGGGCAUCCAUCUGCAAUCUGGUGUCUGCAGCGAUGGCAUGUGUUGCUUUCUCUUUGCAUGAUUGUAGAACAGCAAAAUCUGAGCCCUAAAAGUUUCAGUAUGAUACCCUAUUGGGUUUUUCCGUUUUUGUUCAACACUCAAUUUUUCCAGCAGUUGUUAGCUCAAAGUUGAGGUAAUCGGAGAAAAAAGAGGAUUUUUCAGGGUGGUUGACCAUCUCCCGCAUGCCUAUGACUUCUUUUUUGCUCUAAUCAACAACCCUUUAGCUCAAAAAGGAAAAUGUCUAUAUGCUCUUCCUUUUUCUGCUUCUGUAUACUACGGCAACUGAUUUUCGCAAAUAUCCACUUUUCUGUCCCUCUAAAUACAAAGGUAGGGAGCUGCUUUUUAAAUAAUAGUUAGCGUAAUUUAGGAUCUAUUGAUGUUGAUUGAUCUGAAGAAAGGGGGCUCAUUUUGACCAUCAGAUUUGAGGGGAAAAUUAAAAAACACACCUAAUAGGGGCAAUCCGUGCAAAAACUUGAAAAAGUGGGAUCUGAUUGUGGUUUGCUUCUUUCUGGGCUAUAAUCUACUUUAUUGCGUUGGGAAAACCCAACACGUAUCUUGGCGUGGCGACACGGUAUGGCAUCCAUAUGCAAAUCAGUGUCUUGCAGCCAUGGCGUGUGUUGCUUUCACUUUGCAUAUUCAUAUACAACAAAAUCUGAGGCCUGAAAGUUUUGGCUCAAAAAUGAAGCCAUCGGAGAAAAAAAUGGAAUUUUUCUGGGUGGUUGAACAUCUCCGGUAUGCCUAUGAUUCUUUCUUAGCUCUAACCAACUGCCUUUUAGCAUUAAUCUCUUUCUGUUUAUCUGUGAUUACUUUGCUCCCGCAUGCCUGCUUUUCAGGCAAAGCAGCAGCAAAAGCAUAGAAAAUGAGGUUCAGAACAGUAUGAAGAAUGAAAAAGGGCCAAAUAUACCCCUCUACUAUAAAGAAUGAGGCCAACAGAAGAGAAGGGAAUUCUUGGAGGGUGGUUGCCCCCUCAGAUUGGCCUGUGGUUUCUCCUGCAACCAAACCAACAAUCCUCUUCAGAUGUACUAGUACUGUAUUCUUGAACUUCUGAGGUUAGCAAACAUACUUUGAUCUUAUAUAGCAAUUGUUAAAAAUUGCUUGAAAUUGUCCAAACGCCUACUUGAGGUGAAGUUCCUAUCUUUCAAAAGUGGCUGUGAUGAUAAUUUAGCCAUCAGACAGAUGGGAGAAUCCUCGCCAUAGUUUAGCUCAAAAAGGAAGAAUGAGACAUUAGAGAGAUAGAUUUUCUGUAAAGGGUGGUUGCCCCCUCUCUUCCACGUCCAUGAUUUCUUCUCAAUUCAUAAAAAAAACAACAGCCCUUUCAGAAGAAAAAAGAACAACAUUCUUGAUUUUCGUGUGUGUAUGUAUGUAUAUGUAGAUAUAUAUUUCCAUGUCCAAACACCUACUACAGCUGAUUUUCUCAAAUAGUUACUUUUACGUCCCUGUAAAAUAGAAGGUAGAAAUGACACUACAAGAUAGCGGCUUUUAAUGGAUCAAUUCUUGGAGGGUGGUUGCCCCUCUGAUUGGCCUGUGAUUUCUCCUGCAACCAAACCAACAACCUCUUCAGAUGUACUAGUACUGUAUUCUUGAUCUUCUGAGGUUAGCAAACAUACUUUGAUCGUAUAUAGCAAUUGUUAAAAAUUGCUUGAAAUUGUCCAAACGCCUACUUGAGGUGAAGUUCCUAUCUUUCAAAAGUGGCUCUGAUGAUAAUUUAGCCAUCAAACAGAUGGGAGAAUCCACACCAUAGUUUAGCUCAGAAAGGAAGAAUGAGACAUUAGAGAGAUGGAUUUUCUGUAAAGGGUGGUUGCCCCUCUCUUCCAUGUCCAUGAUUUCAUCUCGAUUCAGGAAAAACCAACAGCCCUUUCAGAAGAGAAAAGAACAACGUUAUUGUUUUGGUGUCUCUGUGUUUGUGUGUGUGUGUAUAUGUAGAUAUAUAUUUCCAUGUCCAAAUGCCUACUACAGCUGAUUUUCUCAAAUAGUUACUUUUAUGUCCCUGUAAAAGGUAGAAAUGACACAACAAAUUAGCGGCUUUUAAUGGAUCAUUUAUAAGAAUGUUGAUUGAUCUGAAAAAAUGGGCUAUGAUGAUGAUUUGCUUCUUUUUGGGCUAUAUCUACUCCACUGCAUUGAGAAGAUCCGACCCGUAUCUUGGCGGUGCAACCAGGUAUGGCAUCAUCUGCAACUGUUAUCUGCAGCCAUGGCGAGGUCGGUUUGUCUUUGCAUGUUUGUAGAACAGCAAAAUCUGAGCCCUGAAGUGUACGCCAACCAUUUGAUGGUCAGUUCUCAGGAACUGAAAUACUCAAUUAUGUUGUUUAUUUUCUUGAAAACCUCAUUUCAGAUGCAUUACUAUAUCAAAUUUUAGCUCAAAAAUGAAGUAAUUGAAGUAAAAAGGGAUAUUUCAGGGUGGUUGACCAUCUCCGGUAUGCCACUGAUUUUAUCUUUAGCUCUAAUCAACAGCCUUUUUAUCAUAUGUAUGAAGUCUGUAUGUAUAUGUAUGUGUAUUGUAUGUAUGUGUCUCUCUAUCUGUGACUACUUCGGUCCUGUUUGGCUGCAUUUUCAGAUGAAGCAGCAGCAGAAGCAUAGAAAAGAGACAGUAAAACAAACUUACAGGGUCUCUGUUUAAAGUAUCUCUUAAUAAAUCAGAGUGUUCUACAGAAAAAUGGAGGUUCAGCCCACUAUUAAGAAUGAGGCUGGCAGAGAGAAGGGAAUUCUUUGAGGGUGGUUGCCCGCUCUAUUUAACCUAUGAUUUCCCCAUAAACCAAAUCAACAACCCUCUUCAGAUGUACUGGUUCUAGUACUGUUUCUUGUUUUCUCUACGCGUCGCUCUAAUUUUCGCUUUAUGUUUGUUAAAAAUUGCUCAAAAUUGUCCAAGCGCCUGCUUAUGGGAAAGUUUCCAUCUUUCAAAAGAGGCUGUGAUGAUAAUGCUUAUGGCAGAACCUUCGUCAUAUUAUAUUCUAGGAAGUGAGAAAUGAGACAUCAGAGAGAUCGGAUUUUCUGUAAAGGGUGGUUGGCCCUCUCUGCCAUGUCCAUGAUUUCUUUUCCAUUAAUGAAAACCAACCGCCCUUUGAGAAAAAAACAGACAAGAAAAUGAUUAAUGGAUUAUAUAUGCUUCUUCCUUUCUCGUUUUCUGCUUCUGCAACUACUACAGCUGAUCUUUGCAAACAGCACUUUCAUGUCCCUGUAUGUAUAAACAACAAAAACAACAACAUAUUCGGUGAAUAACCACCUGGGGUCUGAGGAGGGUAGGAUAUACACAAACCUUAACCCCCCCUCCCCCCCCCCCCCCCCCCCCCCCCCUCUUUUGUGGAAUAGAGGCUGUUUUUGGUAGUCCCUUGGCUCAAAAAGAAUGUUAUUGGAGCAGGAUUGCAAGAAAAACAUAACAACCAAAUAGCAAAAUGGGUGAUUUAUGUACAAGGUAGAAAGGAAACAACUAGGUACCGCUUUUAAUGGAUGAUUUACAAGAAUGUCGGUGGGUGUAAUUUUGAGCCAGGGAUCUAUCGGAAACAGCCUCUACUUCGUCUGGGUUAGUGGUAUGGAAUACGUACACUUUACCCAACCCAGACACCACUUUGUGGGACUAUGCUGGGUAUAUUGUUGUUGUUGUCGCCAGUGGGUGUAAUUUCCACACUUCCAAUGGCACAGGACUACUGAUGUUGCUUGAUCUGGAAAAUGGGCAGUGAUGAUGAUUUGCUUCUUUAUGGGCUAUACUCUACUUUACUGCAUUGAUGAAAUGUGACCCGUAUCUUGGCGGGGCAAUCCGGUACGGCUUCCAUUUGCAAACCGGUGUCUUGCAGCCAUGGCGUGUGUUGCUUUCUCUUUGCAUGUUCGUAGAACAGCAAAAUCUGAGUCUUAAAAGUUUUACGGGAAGUAUUAAAUGGAUGGCAAUUUGCCAUCAAAUUUUUAGCUAAAAAAUGAGGCAAUUGGAGAUAAGGAGAUUUUUCAGGGUGGUUGACCAUCUCCGGCAUGCCUAUGAUUUUGUUUUUGCUCUUAUCAACAGCCCUUUUAUCAUAUCUUUGAGAUCUAUGUCUACAUUACUCUAUAUAAUAAGAGUGAACGGGAGAGGAGCUUAGGAUAGGUUCCAAAAAUGAAAACUAAGCUCCUCAAAGUCCCAGUUAUUAUUAGUAAAAAUAACAUAAAUACCAACCCUUUUGGAAGUAAUUACACUCUCUCCCACUUUUUUAAUUACUUUACUCUCGCUCCCUAUUAAUAUACAUAACAUAGCCGACAUAUACAUAGCAUUCUGUAUAUGUUGGGAUAUUUGUAAUAUGUUUAGGGAGUUGGGAUUUUUUGUAAUAUUGGAAACAUAAGUUGUGUAUUUGUGUAAUUUUUAGUUAUUAUUAUUUGAGGACUUUUCUUCAGCUGCUUCAAUCGUAAUCAUGAUUUUACUGUAUCACCCUAAUUAAUUAUUAUAAGUCACAUGUCCCGUUAAAUACAAGAUAGCCGCUUUUGAUGGUGCUAAGGGCACAAGACAACUGAUACUGAUAUUGAUUUGCUUCUUUCUGAGCUAUAAUCUACUUUUGAGAAAAUUCAACUUGCAUCUUGGCAAGGCGACCUCAGCAUUGCUUAGCCCAGAAAGGAAGAAUGAGACAUCACGGAGAGAAAUGGGAUUUUCUGUAAAGGGUGGUUGCCCUCUCUCUGAUAUGUCAAUGAUUUCUUCUCCAUUCAUAAAACACCAACAGCCCUUUGAGAAAAAAGAAAGACGAUGCUUUUAGUUUUUUCUGCUUAACUCUCGGCUUUUCUUAAUUACAUCUUUUUGCCCUUGGCAUUUUCUUAAACUGUGAUGGAGGAAUUAAUGUCCACUCUUACAAUAAAACUCAGAUAUAAAAAAUGAAACAGCAGAGAGAGCUGGAGUUUCUGUGAAGGGUGGUUGCCCCUCUCUGCUAUGUCGGUGAUUUCUUUCUCCAUUAAUAAGAAACCAACAGCCCUUUGAGAAAAAAGAAAAGAUCAAGAAAAUGGAAGACUUGUAGACGUUUUGCCAUGAAAUCCAUAUAUUUAUAUGUAUGUAUAUAUACACUUCUUCCUUUUUCUGCUGGUGCUCCUGCAAGGUAGAAAUGGUACAACUAGGUAGCUGCUUUUUUAAGAGUUCGGAACCUAAAUGAGGUGUUUUAUUGAUGUUGAUUGGUAUGAUAAAAUGGGCUGUGAUGAUGAUUUGCUUCUUUCUGGACUAUAAUCUACUUCACUGCAUUAAGAAAAUCCGACUUGUAUCUUGGCGAGGCAAUCCGGUAAGGCAUCCAUUUACAAACCGGUGUAUCUGCAGCCAUGGCGAUGUCGCUUUCUCUUUGCAUGUCUGUAAGUAGUAAACUCUGAGCCCUAAAGUGUACAACAAAUCAAUUUGAUGUUUUUUAUACUGUCAUUUGUCCUAGGCCGGGGGUUAUCGGAAACAGCCUCUUGACCCUCUCAAGUCUUUAAUUAGAAAAAGGGGACAAGUAGGUCCCACAAUAUUAUUAAGUUGAAAGAAAUGAAGUCACUUAAACAACUAGGACAGUUGUUCGACAUCUGCAUUAGUUGUCUCAACAACUAUCAAAGUUGUCCAACAACUUUGCACAGUUGUCGAACAAAACUUUGAUAGUUGUUGAGACAACUUCUAUAGUUGUUAGAGCGAAAAUGUUUUAAAAAAAAAAAACUGAAAUUUUUUUUUGUCCCUUUUACCUAAUUUUUAAAACUUGAAGGACCCUUACUUAAUUGAGAAACUUGUUUGUCCCUUUUAAUUCGAAGCCCCAAGUGUACUCGGGUAUGUUGUUGUUGUUGUUGUUGAAUGGAUGAGACUGAGAUACCCAAUUAGGUUCUUUGGUUUUUUUAAACACCCCAUUUUUUCAUUCUUACAAGCUUUGAUGGGCUGUGAUGAUUGUUCUUUUCUGGUCUACAUUCUUACAAGCUUUGAGAAAUCUGACAUGUAUCUUGGCAGGGCGACCCAGUAUGGAAACAUCUUACAACCUGGUGUCUGCAGCCAUGGCGUGUCCGCUUUCUCUUUGCAUGAUCAUAUAUACAAAAGCAAAAUCUGAGCCCUAAAAUUUUAUUCUUCAGGGAAUUCAUUCUGUACUCAUCCGAUGGUUGAGCUUUGGCGUGGCAUCUUUGGGGCUCUUGUGUCAUAUGGGUUGGUGAAAUUACAAUAAACUUACAACUAAACUUACAAGUGAAGAAAAUAUAAAAGACUAUCUUCUUCCACGGCUGAAGCGCGGAUAUCUCGCUCUCUUUAAGGAGAUUCAAGCCCGUUGCAGCAAAUGUUUCACCGGUCCAGCAGUUAUCUUCUUGACUUGUCCCCUCCAGGAUACAACGGCCUUCUCACAACAACUCAUGACAAGAGUUGAGUUCAAAGCUCCACAAUAAGAACACCACCCUUCAACUAAUAAACUCUCUUAUUUGGCUGAGCCUCCCAAAUAUCUGUUUGUGAAGGAAUGAGGCUUUUUCAUGGAACUCGAGAAAGGUUGAGAUUUUUUAAGGGUGGUUGCUCUCUUUCUCUGAAGUUCAAUUUAGCCUAUGAAUUUUUCUGUUCUUCUGUUACAAUGAGAAAGAUUAACAACCCUUUCAUCAUCUAAUGCCAAAUAUGAUCUUGUUGCUGAGGAUGAUUAGCCAUGGCUAUGGUAACGUUAAAGGAAAUACAUAUUCAACCCCCCAACUUGUCCGGGAAAACCCGACUGUCCUGAAUCCUGAACUUUGUGAAUGAGGCUGUGAUUAUAUUCUCCUAAAAUCUUGCAAAUCAGAUUUUUGAGCUGAUUAAUAACUUGGCUACGCAAAGGCAGCAGAAUUUGUGAGGUUGGUUUUAUCUCUUUCUGUCUAUCUGUGACUACUUUGCUCCCGCGUGCCUGCUUUUCAGGAAAAGCAGCAGCAAGAGCAUAGAAAAAUGAGGUUCAGCACAGUAUGAAGAAUGGAAAAGGGACAAAUAUACCCUUUUACUAUGAAGAAUGGAAAAAGGCCAAAUAUACCCUUUUACUAUGAACAAUGAGGCCGACAGAAAGAGAAGGGAAUUCUUGGAGGGUGGUUGACCUCUCCAACUGGCCUGUGAUUUCUCCUGCAAUCAAACCAACAACCCUCUUCAGAUGUACUAGUACUGUAUUCUUGUUUUUCUGAGGUUAGCAAACAUGCUCUGAUCUUAUGUAGCAAUUGUUAAAAAUUUGCUUGAAAUUGUCCAAACGCCUACUUGUGGUAAAGUUUCUAUCUUUCAAAAGUGGCUGUGAUGAUAAUUUCGCCAUCAGACAGAUAGGAGAAUCCUCACCAUUGGUUAGCUCAGAAAAGAAGAAUGAGACGUUAGAGAGAGAGAGGUUUUCUUUAAAGGGUGGUUGCCCCUCUCUUCCAUGUCCAUGAUUUCUUCUCGAUUCAGGAAAAAACAACAGCCCUUUCAGAAGAAAAUAGAACAACAUUCUUGAUUUUCGUAUGUGUGUGAGAGUAUGUAUGUAUGUAUAUGUAGAUAUAUAUUUCCAUGUCCAAACACCUACUACAGCUGAUUUUCUCAAAUAGUUACUUUUACGUCCCUGUAAAAUACUAGGUAGAAAUGACACAAGAUAGCGGCUCUUAAUGGAUCUGAUUGGCCUGUGAUUUCUCCUGCAACCAAAUCAACAACCCUGUUCAGAUGUACUUGUACUGUUUUCUUGGUUUUCUGAGGUUAGCAAACAUGCUCUGAUCUUAUGUAGCAAUUUUUAAGAACUGCUUGAAAUUGUCCCAACUCCUACUUGCGGUGAAGUUCCCAUCUUUCAAAAGUGGCUGUGAUGAUAAUUUAGCCAUCAGACAGAUGGGAGAAUCCUCACCAUAGUUUAGCUCAGAAUGGAAGAAUGAGACAUUAGAGAGAUAGGUUUUCUGUAAAGGGUGGUUGCCCCUCUAUUCCAUGUCCAUGAUUUCUUCUCGAUUCAGGAAAAAUCAACAGCCCUUUCAGAAGAAAAAAGAACAACAUUAUUGUUUUCGUGUCGCUGUGUUUGUGUGUGUGGGUGUGGGUGUAUAUAUAUAUAUAUAUAUUUCCAGGUCCAAAUGCCUACUACAGCUGAUUUUCUCAAAUAGUUACUUUUAUGUCCCUGUAAAAUACAAGGUAGAAAUGACACAAGAAGUUAGCGAAUUUUAAUGGAUCAUUUAUAAGAAUGUUGAUUGAUCUGAAAAAAAUGGGCUAUGAUGAUGAUUUGCUUCUUUUGGGGCUAUAUCUACUUCACUGCAUUGAGAAGAUCCGACCCGUAUCUUGGCGGGGCGACCAGGUAUGGCAUCAUCUGCAAACUGGUAUCUGCAGCCAUGGCGAGGUCGCUUUGUCUUUGCAUGUUUGUAGAAUGGCAAAAUCUGAGUCCUGAAAUGUACGGCAACCAUUUGAUGGUCAGUUAUCAGGAACUGAAAUACUCAAUUAUGUUCUUUUUCUUGAAAGCCCCCUUUCAGAUGCAUUACUAUAUCAAAUUUUAGCUCAAAAAUGAGGUAGUUGAAGUAAAAAGGGAUAUUUCAGGGUGGUUGACCAUCUCCGGUAUGCCAGUGAUUUUAUCUUAGCUCUAAUCAACAGCCUUUUUAGCAUAUGUAUGAGGUCUGUAUGUAUAUGUAUAUGUAUAUGUAUGUGUAUUGUAUAUAUGUGUUUCUCUAUCUGUGACUACUUCGGUCCUGUUUGGCUGCAUUUUCAGAUGAAGCAGCAGCAGAAGCAUAGAAAAGAGACAGUAAAACAAACUUACAGGGUCUCUGUUUAAAGUAUCUCUUAAUAAAUCAGAGUGUUCUACAGAAAAAUGGAGGUUCAGCCCACUAUUAAGAAUGAGGCUGGCAGAGAGAAGGGAAUUCUUUGAGGGUGGUUGCCCGCUCUAUUUAACCUAUGAUUUCCCCUUAAACAAAAUCAACAACCCUCUUCAGAUGUACUGGUUCUAGUACUGUUUCUUGUUUUCUCUAAGCGUCGCUCUAAUUUUCGCUUAUGUUUGUUAAAAAUUGCUCAAAAUUUUCCAAGCGCCUACUUAUGGGAAAGUUUCCAUCUUUCAAAAGAGGCUGUGAUGAUAAUGCUUAUGGCAGAACCUUCAUCAUAGUAUAGUCCAGGAAGUGAGAAAUGAGACAUCAGAGAGAUCGGAUUUUCUGUAAUGGGUGGUUGGCCCUCUCUACCAUGUCCAUGAUUUCUUCUCCGUUAAUAAAAACCAACAGCCCUUUGAGAAAAAAACAGACAAGAAAAUGAUUAAUGGAUUAUAUAUAUGUUUCUUCCUUUUUCGGCUUAUGCUUCUGCCACUACUGUAGCUGAUCUUUGCAAAUAGCACUUUUAUGUCCCUGUAUGUAUAAACAACAACAUAUUCAGUGAUUCCCACCCUAGACUUGUUUGAAGAGUCCGAGCAACAUAGUUCCCACCUGGGGUCUGAGGAGGGUAGGAUAUACACAAACCUUACCCACCUACCUUUGUGGAAUAGAGAGUCUGUUUUUGGUAGACCCUUGGCUCGAAAAGAAUGUUAUCGAGGCAGGCUUGCAGGAAAAAUAUAACAACCAAAUAGCAAAAUGGGUGAUUUAUGUCCCUAUAUGUACAAGGUAGAAAGGACCCAACAAGGUACCGCUUUUAAUGGGUGAUUUACAAGAAUGUCAGUGGGUGUAAUUUUGAGCCAAGGAUCUAUCGGAAACAGCCUCUACUUCGUCUGUGGUAGUGGUAUGGACUACGUACACUUUACCCUCCCCAGACCCCACUUUGUGGGAUUAUGCUGGGUAUAUUGUUGUUGUUGUCGCCGGUGGGUGUAAUUUCCACACUUUCAAUGGCACAAGACAACUGAUGUUGCUUGAUCUGAAAAUGGGCAGUGAUGAUGAUUUGCUUCUUUUUGGGCUAGACUCUACUUUAGUGCGUUGAUGAAAUUUGACCCAUAUCUUGGCGGGGCAAUCCAGUACGGCUUCCAUUUGCAAACCGGUGUCUUGCAGCCAUGGCGUGUGUUGCUUUCUCUUUGCAUGUUCGUAGAACAGUAAAAUCUGAGCCUAAACAUUUUACGGGAAGUAUUAAAUGGAUGGCCAUUCUCUGGAACUGGAAAAUUCAAUUGGGUUCUUCAGUUCUUUCAGAUGCAGUUUGCCAUCAAACUUUUAGCUAAAAAAAAGAGGCAAAUGGAGAAAAGGAGAUUUUCAGGGUGGUUAACCAUCUCCAGCAUGUCUAUGAUUUUGUUUUUGCUCUAAUCAACAGCCCUUUUAGCAUAUCUUUGUGAUCUGUGUCUACAUUACUCUAUAAACUAAGAGUGAACGGGAGAGGAGCUUAGAGUCGUUUUCCAAAAAUGACAACUAAGCUCUUCAAAGUCCCAGUUAUUAUUAUUUGAGGACUUUUCUUCAGCUGCUUCAAUCCCGAUUUUACUGUAUCACCCCCUAAUUAAUUAUUAUAAGUCAUAUGUACCUCUCAAUACAAGAUAGCCGCUUUUGAUGGUGCUAAGGGCACAAGACAACUGAUAUUGAUAUUGAUUUGCUUCUUUCUGAGCUAUAAUCUACUUUUGAGAAAAUUCAACUUGCAUCUUGGCAAGGCGACCUCAGCAUUGCUUAGCCCAGAAAUGAAGAAUGAGACAUCAGAGAGAAAUGGGAUUUUCGGUUAAGGGCGGUUGCCCUCUCUCUGAUAUGUCGAUGAUUUCUUCUCCAUUCAUAAUACACCAACAGCCCUUUGAGAAAAAGAAAAGACGAUGCUUUUGGUUUUUUCGGCUUGACGCUCGGCUUUUCUUGAUUACAUCUUUUUGCCCUUGGCAUUUUUUUAAACCUUGAUUGAGAAAUUAAUGUCCACUCUUACAAUAAAACUCAGAUAUAAAAAAUGAGACAUCAGAGAGAGCUGGAGUUUCUGUAAAGGGUGGUUGCCCCUCUCUGCUAUGUCAGUGAUUUCUGUCUCCAUUAAUAAUAAACCAACAGCCCUUUGAGAAAAAAAGAAAAGAUCAAGAAAAUGAAAGAGAGACCGUAGGCGUUUGGCCAUGAAUUCCAACUAUAUAUAUAUCUAUACUUCUUCCUUUUUCUGCUUGUGCCUCUGCUAGGUAGAAAUGACACAACAAGGUAGCUGCUUUUUUAAGAGUUCGGAACCUAAAUGAGGUGUUUUAUUGAUGUUGAUUGAUAUGAUAAAAUGGGCUGUGAUGAUGAUCUGCUUCUUUCUGGACUAUAAUCUACUUCACUGCAUUAAGAAAAUCUGACUCGUAUCUUGGCGGGGCAAUCCGGUAAGGCAUCCAUUUGCAAACCGGUGUAUCUGCAGCCAUGGCGAUGUCGCUUUCUCUUUGCAUGUCUGUAAGUAGUAAAAUCUGAGCCCUAAAGUGUACGACAAAACCAUUUAAUGUUUUUUAUACUGUUAUUUGUCUUGAGCCGGGGGUUAUCGGAAACAGCCUCUUGACUUUAUCUGAGGUAGUGGUACGGACUGCAUACAUUUUACCCUCCCUAGACCCCACUUUGUGGGAGUACACUGGGAAAAAUGAGCUCAAAGACCCUCUCAAGACUGCAUUAGUUGUCUCAACAACUAUCAAAGUUGUCUCAACAACUAUCAAAGUUGUCCAACAACUUUGCAAAGUUGUCGAACAACUUUGAUAGUUGUUGAGACAACUUCUAUAGCUGUUGAGACAACCUCGUUAGUUGUUGGAGCGAAAAUGUUGAAAAAAAACUGAAAAAAAUUUGUCCCUUUUACCUAAGUUUUAAAACUUGAAGGACCUUGACUUAAUUGAGAAACUUGUUUGUCCCUUUUAAUUCAAAGCCCCGAGUACACUGGGUAUGUUGUUGUUGUUGAAUGGAUGGUCCUUUUCGGGGACUAAGAUACCCAAUUGGGUUCUUUGUUUUUUUUUAACACCCCAUUUAAGAUGCGGAGCUCCCUCAAAUUUUUAGCUCUAAGGUGAGGCAAUCGAAGCAAAAAAGGGGUUUUCAGGAUGGUUGACCUUCAGCUCAAAAAUAGCAUUUUAAAAACAGGUUUUGAGGAAAAAAGUCGUGGUCGGUGGACCUGGUAUGGCAUCAUUUGUAAACCUGUCUCUGCUUAUGCUGCCACUGCUGAUUUUUAGAAAAGGGACACUGAAAUGGGCUGUGAUGAUUGUUCUUUUCUGGUCUACGUUCUUGCUAGCUUUGAUAAAUCUGACAUGUAUCUUGGCAGGGCGACCCAGUAUGGCAACAUUUUGCAACCUGGUGUCUGCAGUCAUGGUGUGUCCGCUUUCUCUUAGCAUGUUCAUAUACAAAAGCAAAAUCUGAGCCCUCAAAUUUUAUUCUUCAGGGAAUUCAUUCUGUACUCAUCAGAUGGUUGAGUUUUGGCAUGGCAUCUUUGGGGCUCUUGUGACAUAUGGGAGCCAUUUAGGUUUCUCUUUCUCACAAAGGCUUCUUAAGCUUGCAGCCAUAGUGGAGUUUUGCUCAUGUCUUAGAAAAGGUUAAUCUGAGCCUCCCAAAUAUCUGUUCGUGAAGGAAUGAGGCUUUUUCAUGGAACUCGAGAAAGGUUGAGAUUUUCUAGGGGUGGUUGCUCUCUUUCUCUGAAGUUCAAUUUAGCCUAUGAAUUUUUCAGUACUUCUGUUACAAUGAGAAAGAUUAACAACCCUUUCUUCUGCUAAUGCCAAUUAUAAUCUUGUUGCUGAGUGUGAUUAGCCAUCUCUAUGGUAACAUUAAAGGAAAAUACAUAUUCAAUCCCCCAACUUGUCCUGAACCCUGAACUUUGUGAAUGAGGCUGUGAUGAUAUUCACCUAAAAUCAUGAAAAUCAGAUUUUUGAGCUGAUUAAUAACUUGGCUACGCAAAGGCAGCAGAAUUUGCGAGGUUGGUUUUAUGUGCUUCUCACAUAGGCGACUGCUUUUUGCAGCCGUGGGUAGGCAAAUCUGAGCCUCUUUUCCCUGUGGAGUCUCAUGGUCGCUGAGGAUUCAUGGAGCCUCUAGCUCGUGAAUUUGUUUUUCCUCUGUGCAAUCGUACAGAACAGGAGCAACGAUGAUGUUUCACUUUCUGGGCUAGCUGUAUCAAGAAAUUGGACAAUUUGACCCGCGGCAUGGCAAAUCAGUGGAUGGUUGGCAUUUGAGAUUCUCUCUUUUGCAUGUAACCAGUGAUUUUGCAGCCAUGGCGUGGUUGCCUUUUCUUAGCUUGACCAAGGUCAAGUUGAGCCUCUAAUUUUUUUUAUUUUUUAUUUUUGACUUGCACCGGGUGUCCAAGACUCUGCGAGCCCUGACUAAUCCCAGGAGUGCACAGGCCCUCGGCAAGGAAUUUCCCGCUAGUGCACCAAGGAUAUAGUUGAGCCUCUAAUUUCUGGGAGUCGAACUUGGUUCUUCUUGUUCUUUGAAAUCUUUCGGAACUCAAGGAUAUAGUGGUACGAGCCUAUAGAACUGAUCCUGUUCUCGUCAAGUUGAGUUGACACAGUUCGGUAAGUAUUCGACAGAAACUAAAAGUUCUAUCGUUCUUAAAAGACUAAAACCCUUAACUGCAUACUUAGGGGUCAUUUGGUUGGGAAAGUUAUCCUGGGGUUAGUUAUCCCACCAUGCAUAUGGGAUAACUUAUCCCAUCACUAUGGUAUAAAUGGUGGGAUAAAUAAUCCUGAUACUAACUACUACCUCCAACCAAACAUGGGAUAAAAUAAUCCUUCACUUUAUCCCGGGACUAUUUAUCCUAUAUACCUCACACCAAAUGACCCCUUAAGGAACUAUUUUGACUGUACCCUCAAACAUAUGAGACUAUUCUUGAAAUUUUCUUCUAUAUAUUAUUCUUUUGACACACCAGUAACGAAUCGGUCCAGAAGGAAAAAUGAGGCCAACAGAGAGAUAAAAUGGAUUUCUUGGAGGGUGGUUGCCCUCUCUGAUUAGCCUAUGAUUUUUCGACUAACCAAACCAACAACCCUCCUUUGGUAUAUUUUUGUGAAUUUCCCAAAA